This 59486-nucleotide long non-coding RNA is filed under the name Triticum aestivum (bread wheat). RNAcentral describes it as "long non-coding RNA (TAES_LNC002451)". The stretch from base 34203 to 34332 matches the Rfam family "MIR1120/MIR1122 microRNA precursor family". Lineage: Eukaryota; Viridiplantae; Streptophyta; Magnoliopsida; Poales; Poaceae. The record is from RNAcentral.
UGUUUUUUUUUUGUAGAUCAUGAUGAGAUAUCUUUGUUCCUUUCAGUCGACUGAUCGGAUCAAGUCGAUAAAACUAGUGGGGGCAUGCUGAGUGCACCCACUGGGUGUAGUCCUCGAGACUACUGUUGAAUAUUUUGAUUUGACUAUAGUCUUAGAAAUGCUACGGUUUUUCUCUUAGUUACUCGGAAGCAACCUCUCUUUGAUAUCUGUCGACUGACUCUUUGACAGAAAUCUUGCGAGCUUGUGGCUCGCUAUACUGAAUUGGAAAACAAACAUUUCCAGCUCGACCUUGACUUGAAGCUUGUUCAGGAGAACUUCCAGAAGGCAAAGGAUGAAGCAAAAGGUAUGAUUGGUGAGAACUUAAUGACUGUUCUUAUCCUUCUGCCCAUUCUUGAUUCUGAUCUCAUUGUUAUUUUGCAGAUAAAACGAAGGAGGCUCUGAAGAAGAAGGACCAGGAACUUGCCGAAGCGCAGAAGGCGGCUUUGGAUAAAACGAAGCUUGCGGAAGAGAAGCUGGCUUCAGUCGGUAAACUUGAAGAGGAGAACGCCAACCUGAAAGCUGCUCUCGACGCGGCCAACAAGGAAGUCAGCCGUCUGAAGAAUGACAAGAUUGAUAUGAGUGAUAAGGCUAGUGAACUGGUGGGGAAGAAGAACGAUUUGUAGGCUUAUCUGGGAGGGCUCGCCAAGAAGUUAUUCAUCAUGCUUGAGGGUAAUCUCUCAUGUCCAACUGUCUUGUAAUCACUGACUUAUCAUAGAACUGCUGGCUCAUCUUUGAGUUGUGUUUACAGAAUUCUGCCAAAACUUCGAGGAGGAGACCAGUCGAGUGGAGACAGGCUUGGAUCCCAUCAAAUCUCCUGUGAAGGACGAAACUGCCAUGAACUUGCUCCGACUGGAGUCUCGUGUUGCUGGUGUGGUCGACUAUCUUGCUCGACUGAAGGUUGCGGCGUCGCGGAUCGACACGACACUCUGGCCGAGAGAGACGCUUCAAAAUGACCUCGAGUCUCUGAUGACUCGACUGAAUGAAGUUCCAUGUCGAGUGCAAGAAUGGAAGAAGUCUUCUGCCAGGUGUGGUGCUGAUGUUGCUCUGUCUCUGGUCCGCGUUCACUACAAGGAUGCGCGAGAGGACAAGCUGGCAUCCCUCAAAGUGGCCAAUACCAAGAAGCAUGAGUUCCAAUCUUUCAUGGAGACCUUCAUUGCUGCUGCCACUCAGAUUGCAGAUGGAAUCGACGUGGACCAGUUUGUCGCGCCUUCCAGUCCUCCACCGAAGGAGUAACAAACUUCUAUGCUUGAUGCCUUAUAUUUGCCUCGGAAUGCCGAGUGGUUUUGUAACCGAUAAAACUUUUACAGCCUUGAUGCCUGAGCACUUCUGAAUCCGUAGGAUGCUAUUUGAACUUGACUUUGCCGUUGAAUAUAUUUGCAUUUACCUUCGAGCAAACAUUGUUCUUCACUCGGAAUAUAUUUUAGUGCUUGUGACGUACUCUUGCAGGUUGGAGCACAGAUUGCAGUCGACCUGCGUCCUUGCGGGUCGGGUUGGAGUGCACAUUGUAUUUGUGGCAGAGCUCCGAAGGAGAAGGUAGCGGUCGACCUAUACCUCGUCGUCCUUGCAGAGCGCACAUUGUAUUUCUGCCGUAGCUCUGAAGGAGAAGGUAGCAGUCGACCUGCACCUUGUCGUCCUUGCAGAGCGCACAUUGUAUUUGUGCCGUAGCUCCAAAGGAGAAGGUAGCAGUCGACCUGCACCUUGUCAUCCUUGCAGAGUGCACAUUGUAUUUGUGUCUUAGCUCCGAAAGAGAAGGUAGCAGUCGACCUGCACCUCGUCGUCCUUGCAGAGCGCACAUUGUAUUUGUGUCGUAGCUCCGAAGGAGAAGGUAGCAGUCGACCUGCACCUCAUCGUCCUUGCAGAGCGCACAUUGUAUUUGUGCCAUAGCUCCGAAGGAGAAGGUAGCAGUCGACCUGCACCUCGUCAUCCUUGUGGAUCGGAAUGAAUUUCAUACUUAGGCUAGUACUGGACUGCAUCUAAGCCCCCGAGUGGGAGGAUUGCUCUCCACUCGAUAGGAUUUUCAAACACUUAGGCGAGUACUGGACUGCAGCUAAGCCCCCGAGUGGGAGGAUUUCUCUCCACUCGGUAGGAUUUUCAAACACUUAGGCGAGUACUGGACUGCAGCUAAGCCCCGAGUGGGAGGAUUGCUCUCCACUCGGUAGGAUUUUCAAACCCUUAGGCGAGUACUGGACAGCAGCUAAGCCCCCGAGUGGAAGGAUUGCUCUCCACUCGGUAGGAUUUUCAAACACUUAGGCGAGUACUGGACUGCAGCUAAGCCCCCGAGUGGGAGGAUUGCUCUCCACUCGGUAGUAUUUUCAAACACUUAGGCGAGUACUGGACUGCAGCUAAGCCCCCGAGUGGGAGGUUUGCUCUCCACUCGGUAGGAUUUUUGUAUUUGUGGCGUAGCUCCGAAGGAGAAGGUGGCAGUCGACCUGCACCUCGUCGUCCUUGCAGAUCGGAAUGGAUUAGAUACUUAGGUGAGUAUUGGACUGCAGCUAAGCCUCCGAGUGGGAGGUUUGCUCUCCACUCUGUAGGAUUUUCAAAUACUUAGGCGAGUACUGGACUACAGCUAAGCCCCCGAGUGAGAGGCUUGCUCGCCACUCGGUAGGAUUUUCAAAUACUUAGGCGAAACGGAUUCGCAGCUAAGCCCCCGAGUGAGAGGCUUGCUCGUCACUCGGUAGGACUUUCAAAUACGUAGGCGAAAAGGAUUCGCAGCUAAGCCCCCGAGUGAGAGGCUUGCUCGUCACUCGGUAGGAAAUUUUUUACAAAGUUAGGCGAAACGGAUUCGUAGCUAAGCCACCCAAUAGGGGAUUUCUUACAUAAGAAAAGCAACAACAAUCACUGGGAAAAUUAUAACACUCUUGUCUUUGAUAAGAAAACUACAGGAGUACUUUUAUUAUAACUCAUCCGAGUGAGUACUUAAGUGUAAAAGGGGCGGAGCAGGUCUGCAUUCCAAGAUCAUGGCUCAUCAAUCUGGCGGCCGAUAUUGUAAAGACGGUAUGCUCCAUUGUGGAGAACUUUUGUGAUGAUGAAGGCGCCCUCCCAAGUAGGGGCGAGUUUGUGUGGCUUCUGUUGAUCCACUCAGAGGACCAAGUCCCCUUCUUGGAAGACUCGACUCUUCACGUUUCUAGCAUGGAAACGACGCAAAUCCUGCUGAUAGAUGGUCGAUCGGAUCAAGGCCAUCUCUCUUUCUUCUUCUACAAGGUCGACUGCGUCUUGCCGGGCUUGUUCUGCUUCAUCUUCAGAGUAGAUCUCGACUCGGGGUGCAUUGUGAAGCAGGUCACUCGGCAGAACUGCUUCAGCUCCAUAGACCAGGAAGAAUGGAGUUUACCCAGUCGACCGAUUAGGAGUAGUCCUCAAUCCCCAAAGAACUGAUGGAAGUUCGUUGACCCACGCGCCUGCUGCGUGUUUGAGAUCACGCAUCAACCAGGGUUUCGUUCCUUUGAGAAUUAGGCCGUUUGCUCUUUCUACUUGUCCACUCGACUGGGGGUGAGCAACGGAAGCGUAGUCGACUCGCGUGCCUUGAGAAGCGCAAAAAGCUUUAAAUUGGUCGGAAUCGAAGUUAGAACCAUUAUCAGUGAUGAUGCUAUGCGGAACUCCAUAUCUGAAUAUCAACUCUCUGAUGAAGCUGAUAGCAGUGCCGACAUCAAGAUUCUUGAUAGGCUUGGCUUCGAUCCACUUAGUGAACUUGUCGACUGCCACCAGUACGUGGGUGAAGCCGCUCCUGCCAGUUCUCAGUGGUCCAACCAUAUCAAAUCCCCAAACAGCAAAGGGCCAGACGAGUGGAAUGGUCUUCAAAGCUGAGGCGGGCUUGUGUGACAUAUUGGAGUAGAACUGACAUCCUUCACACUUGUCGACUAUCUCUUUCGCCAUUUCAUUUGCUCUGGGCCAGUAAAGACCCGCUCGGUAUGCUUUAGCCACAAUACUACGACAGGACGCAUGAUGGCCACAGGUCCCCUAGUGGAUAUCGUCAAGAAUUAUCCAACCUUCUUCUGGCGUUAUGCAUUUCUGACUGGCUCCAGUUGCGCUUUCCCUGUACAACUGCCCCUUCAUCACAGUGAAGGCCUUGGAUCAACGGACGAUUUGUUGAGCCUCUUCUUCAUUCUCUAGGAGCUCUUUCCUUAGGAUAUACGCGAUGUACGGCACUGUCCAGUCGGGAGUGAUAACCAAAACUUCCAUGAUCAGGUCGACCACAGCUGGGACCUCAACUUCAGUCGGAUCCAUGGCACUUUUUGGCUGCGGGGCUUCUUCGGUGAAAGGAUCCUCUUGAACUGACAGUGUGUGGAUAUGCUCCAAAAACACGCCACUGGGAAUGGCUUCUCUCUUGGAACCUAUUUUUGCAAAAUCAUCAACCGCUUGAUUUUUCAGUCGGGGUAUAUGAUGAAGCUCUAAACCUUCGAAUUUCUUCUCCAACUUUCUUACUGCAUUGCAGUAACCAGUCAUGGCUGGGCUUCUGACGUCCCACUCCUUCAUCACUUGGUUAACCACCAAAUCUGAGUUGCCGUAUACCAUGAGGCGAUGAACGCCGAAUGAAAUGGCCAUACGCAACCCAUACAAAAGUGCUUCGUAUUCUGCUUCGUUGUUGGAGGAAUAAAAGUGAAUCUGGAGUACAUAUCUGAGCUUAUCUCCUCGGGGGGAAACCAACACUACCCCAGCACCGGAACCAUUCAGCAUCUUAGAGCCAUCAAAGAACAUGGUCCAGUGCUCCGAGUGAACUUGAGACGGCAGUUGCUGUUCAGUCCACUCGGCGAUGAGAUCUGCUAUUGCUUGGGACUUGAUAUCUUUCUUUGCCUCAAAUCUGAUAUCCAGGGGAAGGAGUUCAAUCGCCCAUUUUGCCACUCGACCAGUUGCAUCUUUGUUGUGCAGAAUCUCUGACAAUGGGGCAUUGCUGACGACUGUAAUGGUAUGGUCAGAGAAGUAAUGAGCAACUUUCUUCGUGGUCAUAUAAAUCCCAUAUACAAGCUUUUGAUAAUGAGGGUAUCUUUGCUUUGAUGGGGUCAGAACUUCAGAAAUAUAAUAUACUGGGCGCUGAACUUUAAAGGCUUUUCCCUCUUCUUCCCGCUCGACCGUAAGAACUGUACUGACGACUUGUCCUGUGGCUGCAAUGUAAAGCAGCAAAGGAUCUUUGCUGAUCGGGGCAGCAAGCACCGGCUGGGUGGAAAGCAGGGCUUUUAGCUCUGCAAAUGCUGCAUCAGCAUCAGGAGUCCACUCGAACUUGUCUGACUUCUUCAUCAGUCGGUAAAGAGGCAAUGCCUUUUCACUGAGACGAGAGAUGAAUCGACUUAAAGCGGCCAAGCAACCAGUAAGCUUCUGAACAUCAUGCACACGCACAGGUCUUUUCAUUCGGAGUAUAGUGCCCACUUUCUCUGGAUUUGCGUCGAUUCCUUGUUCGGAAACAAGAAAACCGAGUAAUUUUCCGCCAGGAACUCCGAAUGUGCACUUUGAUGCAUUACGCUUGAUAUCAUACCUCCUGAGGUUGGCAAAUGUUUCAGCAAGGCCAAUCAGCAGGUCGGAACCUUUCCGUGACUUGACCACAAUAUCAUCCAUGUACGCUUCCACAUUCCAACUGAUUUGAGUGAGCAAACACUUCUGAAUCAUCCUCAUGAACGUGGCUCCGGCAUUCUUGAGGCCGAAUGGCAUGGUGACAUAACAGAAGCACCCGAAUGGGGUGAUGAAAGCUGUUUUGAUCUCAUCGGGUCCAUACAGACGGAUCUGAUGGUACCCGGAAUAGGCGUCUAAGAAAGACAAUCGCUCACAUCCCGCAAUCGAGUCGACUAUUUGGUCGAUACGAGGGAGAAAAAAAUGAUCUUUCGGGCAGGCCCGAUUGAUAUGUUUAAAUUCAAUGCACAUGCGAAGUGACUUGUCCUUCUUGGGGACCAUGACAACAUUGGCGAGCCACUCGGAGUGGUAAAUUUCUCGGAUAAACUCUGCUGCUAAGAGCCGAGCCACCUCCUCGCCAAUGGCCUUCCUUUUCUGGACGGCAGACCGUCGCAGAUGUUCUUUGACAGGUUUCGCUUUUGAGUCGACUCGUAGACGGUGCUCAGCCAGCCCCCUGGGAACACCCGACAUGUCAGAAGGUUUCCAUGCGAAGAUGUCCCAGUUCUCAUGGAGGAACUGGAUGAGCGCUUCUUCCUAUUUGGGGUCGAGCGCUGUAGAGAUAUUAGUCGGAGCAGCAUUGGGGUCGGUUGGGUGAAUGUGAAUCGGUUUCGUCUCACCAGACGACUGAAACGCUGAUUCCGUAGCGGGCUUGUUAGCUCGCAACAAAUCACUCGGAUCUGCAUUUUUCUGGUGCUCCUACCACUCUUCUGCUACCAUCUGAGCAUCGGUGAUCUUUGAGCCUUUCUGAAAGCACUCUUCCGCCUUUUUCCAAUUGCCAGUAACAGUGAUCACACCUUUGGGGUCACGCAUCUUCAGUUUGAGAUACACGUAACAUGGUCGACCAAUAAAACGUGCAUAAGCUGGCCUUCCCAAAAUAGCGUGAUAGGCACUCUGGAAAUCCACAACUUCAAAUGUCAAUUUUUCUUUGCAGAAAUUUUUGGAAUCACCAAAAACCACAUCAAGAGCAAUCUGGCUGAGUGACGCAGCCUUCUUUCCAGAAAUGACUCCAUAGAAACUCAUGUUGCUGGUAUUGAGUCUGGACAUCGGAAUGCCCAUCCCUUUCAGUGUCUCUGCGUACAAUAUAUUCAAGCUACUGCCACCAUCCAUCAACACUUUAGUCAGUCAAGCGCCUUUGACGACUGGGUCGACCACCAGAGCUUGCCUCCCAGGCGUGGCUAUGUGUGUCGGGUGAUCAGACUGGUCGAACGUGAUGGCAGUCUGAGACCAUUUCAGAUAAUUGGGUGUCUCCGGAGCCACCAUAUUCACUUCUCGGUUGAUAACUUUCAAUCGACUUUUGCUUUCAACGUCAGCAAAAAUCAUCAGGAUGGAAUUAACCUGGGGAUAUCCAUCAUUACUAUCCUCUUUGUCCUCAACUUUGUCCAACUCCUUUUCCUUAUCUUUGGGUUGUUUCCCUGGAAUUGCUGGAUCAAGAGCCGACACUGUCGAGUGGUAUGUUUCGGGUAAAUGAAGUUACCCUCUUCAUCUUUCUUUGUGUGGAUGUGGCAUAGCAAAUCCACCACGUCAUUUCCCUCCUUGUCUUUUACCUUCUUAGGGUUCCAAGGACUUUGGGCUUCCCCUUAAACUUUCCUUGAGUCACGGCCAAGGCUUCUCCAGGAGCAGCUGGCUCGGCUUUCCGCAUCUGCUUCCAACUGGAGUUCCCUCCUCCGGUUUCGUGGGCGACUGACUUGUGCUUCCCACUCCGGAGCCGAUCUUCUUCUUCACCAUUGGCAUACUUGGUGGCUAUCUCCAUCAUUCGACUCAGAGACAUGUCUCCAGUUCGACGGAAUUUCAGGUUUAUCUCUCUGUACUUAACGCCUUCCUUGAAGGCACAGACUGCCUGGUGAUCAGAUACAUUCUCUACCGUGUGAUGCAAUGUGAUUCAUCUCUGGAUGUAAUCUCUCAAAGUCUCAUUCGACUUAUGUACACAAGUUUGCAGCUCCUUCAGUCCUGCUGGUCGCUAGCAAGUUCCUUCAAACAUUCCGACAAACAAUCGGGAAAGAUCUUCCCAAGUGUAAAUACUGCUGGGUGCCAACUAAUUUAGCCAUGCUCUGGCCGAGCCCUCCAACAUAAGAGGUAUAUGUUUCAUGGCCACCUCAUCAUUUCCGCCGCCGAUCUGAACAGCCACUCGGUAGUCUUCAUGCCAAGUAUCAGGCUUGGACUCACCGGUGAAAUUACUGACUCCAGUCGCCAACCUGAAGUUGGGAGGAAUCGCCGCGGCCCUGAUGGCUCUGCUAAAACACUCUGGUCCUAAGACAUGCACUCUGCUACUGGUGGGUACAUCUCUGUCGUGACCCUCUCGGUGAGCUCUGUUCCUAUCGACCGGACCUUGAACUGUUGGGAAACGUAGUAAUUUCAAAAUUUUCCUACGCACACGCAAGAUCAUGGUGACGUAUAGCGACGAGAGGGGAGAGUGUUGUCUACAUACCCUUGUAGACCGUAAGCGGAAGCGUUAGCACAAGGCGGUUGAUGUAGUCAUACGUCUUCACGGCCCGACCGAUCAAGAACCGAAACUACGGCACCUCCGAGUUCUAGCACACGUUCAGCUCGAUGACGUCCCUCGAACUCCGAUCCAGCCGAGUGUCGAGGGAGAGUUCCGUCAGCACGACGGCGUGGUGACGAUCUUGAUGUUCUACCGUCGCAGGGCUUCGCCUAAGCACCGCUACGAUAUUAUCGAGGUGGACUAUAGUGGAGGGGGGCACCGCACACGGCUAAGAGAUCCAAGGGAUCAAUUGUUGUGUCUUUGGUGCUAGCCCUGCCCCUCUAUUUAUAUGUUGAGCCCCGGGGUCGAAACUUGGAGCAAAAGCCUCCUCAAAGUCGGUUUUGCCCGAAAGGCAAGAGUCCCACUCGGACUCCAGGACCAAACGCCACAAUCCUUGGCGUUUGGCCCAGACGCCAUGGGCUUCGGCGUCUGGCCCAGGGCCAGACGCCAGGGUCUCCGGCGUUUGGCCCCCUGGCCUCCGCAAAACUCCUUUUGCACCGACCUAAAGCCUCAUGGGCUUGAUCCCUUGGCCUAACCGUAUCAUCCAAUAUAUGAAUCUUUACGUCUCGACCAUUUCGAGACUCCUCGUCAUGUCCCUGAUCUCAUCCGGGACUCCGAACUCCUUCGGUACAUCAAAACAUGUAAACUCAUAAUAUAACUGUCAUCGAAACCUUAAGCGUGCGGACCCUACGGUUUCGAGAACAAUGUAGACAUGACCUAGAACUAUUAUCGGUCAAUAACCAAUAGCGGAACCUGGAUGCUCAUAUUGGCUCCUACAUAUUCUACGAAGAUCUUUAUCGGUCAAACCGCAUAACAACAUACGUUGUUCCCUUUGUCAUCGGUAUGUUACUUGCCCGAGAUUCGAUCGUCGGUAUCUCAAUACCUAGUUCAAUCUCGUUACCAGCAAGUCUCUUUACUCGUUCUGUAAUGCAUCAUUCCGUAACUAACUCAUUAGCUACAUUGCUUGCAAGGCUUAUAGUGAUGUGCAUUACCGAGAGGGCCUAGAGAUACCUCUCCGACAAUCGGAGUGACAAAACCUAAUCUCAAAAUACGCCAACCCAACAUGUACCUUUGGAGACACCUGUAGUACUCCUUUAUAAUCACCCAGUUACGUUGUGACGUUUGGUAGCACCCAAAGUGUUCCUCCGGUAAACGGGAGUUGCAUAAUCUCAUAGUUACAGGAACAUGUAUAAGUCAUGAAGAAAGCAACAGCAACAUACUAAACGAUCAAGUGCUAGGCUAACGGAAUGGGUCUAGUCAAUCACAUCAUUCUCCUAAUGAUGUGAUCCCGUUAAUCAAAUGACAACACAUGUCUAUGGUUAGGAAACAUAACCAUCUUUGAUUAAUGAGCUAGUCAAGUAGAGGCAUACUAGUGACGUUAUGUUGGUCUAUGUAUUCACACAUGUAUUAUGUUUCCGGUUAAUACAAUUCUAGCAUGAAUAAUAAACAUUUAUCAUGAUAUAAGGAAAUAAAUAAUAACUUUAUUAUUGCCUCUAGGGCAUAUUUCCUUCAGUCUCCCACUUGCACUAGAGUCAAUAAUCUAGUUCACAUCGCCAUGUGAUUUAACACCAAUAUUCACAUCUGUAUGUGAUUAAUACCCAUAGUUCACAUCGUCAUGUGAUCAACACCCAUAGGGUUUACUAGAGUCAAUAAUCUAGUUCACAUCGCUAUGUGAUUAAGACCCAAAGAGUACUAAGGUAUGAUCAUGUUUUGCUCAUGAGAGAAGUUUAGUCAAUGGGUCUGUCAUAUUACAGAGUCGUAUGUAUUUUGCAAAUAUUCUAUGUCUACAAUGCUUUCAACAGAGCUACUCUAGCUAAUUGCUUCCACUUUCAAUAUGUAUCCAGAUUGAGACUUAGAAUCAUCUGGAUCGGUGUAGAAGUUUACACCGAUGUAACUUUUAUGAUGAGCUCUUUUAUCACCUCCAUAAUCGAGAAACAUCUCCUUAGUCCUCACUAAGGAUAUUCUUGACUGCUGUCCAGUGAUCUACUCUUAGAUCAAAAUUGUAUUCCUUUGCCAAACACAAAGCAAGGUAUACAAUAGGUCUGGUUCAUAGCAUAGCAUACUUUAUAGAACCUAUGACUGAGGCAUAGGGAAUGACUUUUCAUUCUCUUUCUAUUUUCUGCCAUAGUCGGGUUUUGAGUCUUACUCAACUUCACACCUUGCAACAUAGGCAAGAACUCUUUCUUUGACUGUUCCAUUUUGAACUGCUUCAAAAAAUUUAUCAAGGUAUGUACUCAUUGAAAAACUUAUCAAGCGUCUUGAUCUAUCUAUAUAGAUCUUGAUGCUCAAUGUGUAAGCAGCUUCACCGAGGUCUUUCUUUGAAAAAAUUCUUUCAAACACUCCUUUAUGCUUUCCAGAAAAUUCUACAUCAUUUCCAAUUAAUAAUAUGUCAUUCACAUAUACUUAUCAUAAAUGUGUAGUGCUCCCACUCACUUUCUUGUAAAUACAGGUCUUUCCAAAAGUCCGUAUCAAACCAUAUGCUUUGAUCAACUCAUCAAAGCGUAUAUUCCAACUCCGAGAUGCUUGCACCAGUCCAUUGAUGGAUCACUGGAGCUUGCACAUUUUGUUAGCACCUUUAGGAUUGACAAAACCUUCUGGUUGCAUCAUAUACAACUCUUCUUUAAUAAAUCCAUUAAAGAAUGCAGUUUUGACAUCCAUUUGCCAGAUUUCAUAAAAUGUGGCAAUUGCUAACAUGAUUCGGACAGACUUAAGCUUCGAUACGAGUGAGAAAAUCUCAUCGUAUUCAAUACCUUGAACUUGUCGAAAACCUUUCGCAAUAAGUCGAGCUUAGUAGAUAGUAACACUACUAUCAGUGUCCGUCUUCCUCUUGAAGAUCCAUUUAUUUAACAUGGCUUGCUGAUCAUCGAGCAAGUCAAUCAAAGUCCAUACUUUGUUCUCAUACAUGGAUCAUAUCUCAGAUUUUAUGGCCUCAAGCCAUUUCGCGGAAUCUGGGCUCAUCAUCGCUUCCUCAUAGUUCGUAAGUUUAUCAUGGUCUAGUAACAUGACUUCCAGAACAGGAUUACCGUACCACUCUGGUGCGGAUCUUACUCUGGAAGACCUACGAGGUUUUGUAGUAACUUUAUCUGAAGUUUCAUGAUCAUCAUCAUUAGCUUCCUCACUAAUUGGUGUAGGAAUCACUGGAACUGAUUUCUGUGAUGAACUACUUUCCAAUAAGGGAGAAGGUACAAUUACCUCAUCAAGUUCUACUUUCCUCCCACUCACUUCUUUCGAGAGAAACUCCUUCUCUAGAAAGGAUCCAUUCUUAGCAACAAAGAUUUUACCCUCGGAUCUGUGAUAGAAGGUGUACCCAACAAUUUCCUUUAGGUAUUCUAUGAAGACGCACUUCUCCGAUUUAGGUUCGAGCUUAUCAGGUUGAAACUUUUUCACAUAAGCAUCGUAGCCCCAAACUUUAAGAAACGACAACUUUGGUUUCUUGCCAAACCACAGUUCAUAAGGCGUUGUCUCAACGGAUUUCGAUGGUGCCCUAUUUAAAGUGAAUGCAACUGUCUCUAAUGCAUAAUCCCAAAACGAUAGUGGUAAACCGAUAAGAGAUAUCAUAGAUUGCACUAUAUCCAAUAAAGUACGGUUAUGACGUUCGGACACACCAUAACGUUGUGGUGUUCCAGGUGGCAUGAGUUUGUGAAACUAUUCCACAUUGUUUUAAUUGAAGACCAAACUCGUAACUCAAAUAUUUGUCUCCGUGAUCAAAUCAUAGAAACUUCAUUUUCUUGUUAUGAUGAUUCUCCACUUCACUCUGAAAUUCUUUGAACUUUUCAAAUGUUUCAGACUUGUGCUUCAUUAAGUAGAUAUACUCAUAUCUGCUCAAAUCAUCUGUGAAGGUCAGAAAAUAAUGAUACUUGCCGCGAGCCUCAACACUCAUCGGAUCGCAUACAUCAGUAUGUAUUAUUUCCAAUAAGUCAGUUGCUAGCUCUAUUGUUCCGGAGAACGGAGUCUUUAGUCAUCUUGCCCAUAAGGCAUGGUUCGCAAGCAUCAAGUGAUUCAUAAUCAAGUGAUUUCAAAAUCCCAUCAGCAUGGAGUUUUUUCAUGCGCUUUACACCAAUAUGACCUAAACCGCAGUGCCACAAAUAAGUUGCACUAUCAUUAUUAACUUUGCAUCUUUUGGUUUCAAUAUUAUGAAUAUGUGUAUCACUACGAUCGAGAUCCAACGAACCAUUUUCAUUGGGUGUGUAACCAUAUAAGGUUUUAUUCAUGUAAACAGAACAACAAUUUAUUCUCUUACUUAAAUGAAUAAUCGUAUUGCAAUAAACAUGAUCAAAUCAUAUUCAUGUUCAACGCAAAUGCCAAAUAACAUUUAUUUAGGUUUAACACUAAUCCCGAAGGUAUAGGGAGUGUGCGAUGAUGAUCAUAUCAAUCUUGGAACCAUUUCCAACACACAUCGUCACUUCACCCUCAACUAGUUUCUGUUUAUUCUGUAACUCCUGUUUCGAGUUACUAAUCUUAGCAACCGAACAAGUAUCAAAUACUCAGGGGUUACUAUAAACACUAGUAAGGUACACAUCAAUAACAUGUAUAUCCAAUAUACCUUUGUUCACUUUUGCCAUCCUUCUUAUCCGCCAAAUGCUUGGGUAGUUCCACUUCCAGUGACUAGUCCCUUUGCAGUAGAAUCACUUAGUCUUAGGCUUAGGUCUAGACUUGGGCUUCUUCACUUGAGCAGCAACUUGCUUGCUGUUCUUCUUGAAGUUUCCCCUUCUUCCCUUUGCCCUUUUUCUUGAAACUAGUGAUCUUGUCCACCAUCAACACUUUGAUGUUUUUCUUUGAUUUCUACCUUCGCCGAUUUUUUGCAUCGCGAAGAGCUUGGGAAUUGUUUUCAUCAUCCCUUGCAUAUUAUAGUUCAUCACGAAGUUCUACUAACUUGGUGGUGGUGACUAGAGAAUUCUGUCAAUCACUAUCUUAUCUGGAAGAUUAACUCCCACUUGAUUCAAGCGAUUGUAGUACCCAGACAAUCUGAGCACAUGCUCACUAGUUGAGCGAUUCUCCUCCAUCUUUUAGCUAUAGAACUUGUUGGAGACUUCAUAUCUCUCAGCUUGGGUAUUUGCUUGAAAUAUUAACUUCAACUCCUGGAACAUCUCAUAUGGUCCAUGACGUUCAAAACGUUUUUGAAGUCCCGAUUCUAAGCCAUAAAGCAUGGUGCAUAAAACUAUCAAGUAGUCAUCAUAUUGAGCUAGCCAAACGUUCAUAACGUCUACAUCUGCUCCUGCAAUAGGUCUGUCACCUAGCGGUGCAUUAAGGACAUAAUUCUUCUGUGCAGCAAUGAGGAUAAACCUCAGAUCACGGAUCCAAUCCGCAUCAUUGCUUACUAACAUUUUUCAACAUAGUUUUCUCUAGGAACACAUAUAAAAACAUAGGGAAGCAACAACGCGAGCUAUUGAUCUAUAACACAAUUUGCAAAAUACUACCAGGACUAAGUUCAUGAUAAAUUCAAGUUCAAUUAAUCAUAUUACUUAAGAACUCCCACUUAGACAGACAUCUCUCUAGUCAUCUAAGUGAUCACGUGAUCCAAAUCAACUAAACCAUGUCCGAUCAUCACGUGAGAUGGAGUAGUUUCAAUGGUGAACAUCACUAUGUUGAUCAUAUCUACUAUAUGAUUCAUGUUCGACCUUUUGGUCUCCGUGUUUCGAGGCUAUAUCUGUAUAUGCUAGGCUCGUCAAGUUUAACCUGAUUAUUCCGCGUGUGCAACUGUUUUGCACCUGUUGUAUUUGAACGUAGAGCCUAUCACACCCGAUCAUCACGUGGUGUCUCAGCACGAAGAACUUUUGCAACGGUGCAUACUCAGGGAGAACACUUCUUGAUAAUUAGUGAGAGAUCAUCUUAUAAUGCUACCGUCAAACAAAACAAAAUAAGAUGUAUAACAGAUAAACAUCAUAUGCAAUCAAAAUAUGUGACAUGAUAUGGCCAUGAUCAUCUUGCGCUUUUGAUCUCCAUCUCCAAAGUACUGUCAUGAUCUCUAUCGUUACCGGCACGACACCAUGAUCUUCAUCAUCUUGAUCUAUAUCAAUGUGUCGUUACAUGGUCGUCUCGCCAACUAUUGCUCUUGCAACUAUUGCUAUCGCAUAGCGAUAAAGUAAAGCGAUUAUUUGGCACUUGCAUCUUAUGCAACAAAGAGACAACCAUAGGGCUUUUGCCAGUUGCCGAUAACUUCAACAAAACAUGAUCAUCUCAUACAACAACUUAUAUCUCAUCACGUCUUGACCAUAUCACAUCACAACAUGCCCUGCAAAAACAAGUUAGACGUCCUCUACUUUGUUGUUGCAAGUUUUACGUGGCUGCUACGGGCUGAGCAAGAACCGUUCUUACCUACGCAUCAAAACCACAACGAUAGUUUGUCAAGUUAGUGCUGUUUUAACCUUCGCAAGGACCGGGCGUAGCCACACUCGGUUCAACUAAAGUUGGAGAAACAGACACCCGCUAGUCACCUGUGUGCAAAGCACGGCGGUAAAACCAGUCUCGCGUAAGCGUACGCGUAAUGUCCGUCUGGGCCACUUCAUCCAACAAUACCGUUGAACCAAAGUAUGACAUGCUGGUAAGCAGUAUGACUUGUAUCGCCCACAACUCACUUGUGUUCUACUCGUGCAUAUAACAUCAACGCAUAAAACCUAGGCUCGGAUGCCACUGUUGGGAAACGUAGUAAUUUCAAAAAAUUCCUACGCACACGCAAGAUCAUGGUGACGUAUAGCAACAAGAGGGGAGAGUGUUGUCUACAUACCCUUGUAGACCGUAAGCGGAAGCGUUAGCACAACGCGGUUGAUGUAGUCGUACGUCUUCACGGCCCGACCGAUCAAGCACCGAAACUACGGCACCUCCGAGUUCUAGCACACGUUCAGCUUGAUGACGUCCCUCGAACUCCGAUCCAGCCGAGUGUCGAGGGAGAGUUCCGUCAGCACGACGGCGUGGUGACGAUCUUGAUGUUCUACCGUCGCAGGGCUUCGCCUAAGCACCGCUACGAUAUUAUCGAGGUGGACUAUAGUGGAGGGGGGAACCGCACACGGCUAAGAGAUCCAAGGGAUCAAUUGUUGUGUCUUUGGUGCUAGCCCUGCCCCUCUAUUUAUAUGUUGAGCCCCGGGGUCGAAACUUGGAGCAAAAGCCUCCUCAAAGUCGAUUUUGCCCGAAAGGCAAGAGUCCCACUCGGACUCCAGGACCAAACGCCACAAUCCUUGGCGUCUGGCCCAGAUGCCAUGGGCCUCGGCGUCUGGCCCAGGGCCAGACGCCAGGGUCUCUGGCGUUUGGCCCCCUGGCCUCCGCAAAACUCCUUUUGCACCGACCUAAAGCCUCAUGGUCUUGAUCCCUUGGCCUAACCAUAUCAUCCAAUAUAUGAAUCUUUACGUCUCGACCAUUUCGAGACUCCUCGUCAUGUCCCUGAUCUCAUCCGGGACUCCGAACUCCUUCGGUACAUCAAAACAUGUAAACUCAUAAUAUAACUGUCAUCGAAACCUUAAGCGUGCGGACCCUACGGGUUCAAGAACAAUGUAGACAUGACCUAGAACUAUUCUCGUUCAAUAACCAAUAGCGGAACCUGGAUGCUCAUAUUGGCUCCUACAUAUUCUACGAAGAUCUUUAUCGGUCAAACCGCAUAACAACGUACGUUGUUCCCUUUGUCAUCGGUAUGUUACUUGCCCGAGAUUCGAUCGUCGGUAUCUCAAUACCUAGUUCAAUCUCGUUACCGGCAAGUGUCUUUACUCGUUCCGUAAUGCAUCAUUCUGUAACUAACUCAUUAGCUACAUUGCUUGCAAGGCUUAUAGUGAUGUGCAUUAUCGAGAGGGCCUAGAGAUACCUCUCCGACAAUCAGAGUGACAAAAUCUAAUCUCAAAAUACGCCAACCCAACAUGUACCUUUGGAGACACCUGUAGUACUCCUUUAUAAUCACCCAGUUACGUUGUGACAUUUGGUAGCACCCAAAGUGUUCCUCCGGUAAACGGGAGUUGCAUAAUCUCAUAGUUACAGGAACAUGUAUAAGUCAUGAAGAAAGCAACAGCAACAUACUAAAUGAUCAAGUGCUAAGCUAACGGAAUGGGUCAAGUCAAUCACAUCAUUCUCCUAAUGAUGUGAUCCCGUUAAUCAAAUGACAACACAUGUCUAUGGUUAGGAAACAUAACCAUCUUUGAUUAAUGAGCUAGUCAAGUAGAGGCAUACUAGUGACGUUAUGUUGGUCUAUGUAUUCACACAUGUAUUAUGUUUCCGGUUAAUACAAUUCUAGCAUGACUAAUAAACAUUUAUCAUGAUAUAAGGAAAUAAAUAAUAACUUUAUUAUUGCCUCUAGGGCAUAUUUCCUUCAUGAACGAUAAUAGAUCUCGCAUCAAAGCCUGGUUCCCUGGGGUCGACUGGAAUCCUUCGCCCAUCACUGUGCUGGCGUCUACCAUCCUGUUGUCGAGGUGCGUACGAUCCACCCCUUGGGGGAGGGGUGAGCACUCGACAUUGAUCAUCACGAUCGAUUCGGUGAUCAUACUGCUCACAGUUCUUGUACUGAUCGUGCCGGUCUCCACACCCUUCACGCCUCGGGGGCGAUCUGGGGCUGUGAGCCGACUGGACUGUAUUUGCAGCUACGGAUCUGCUGUGAAUCCUAUUCCGCGACUGUGAUACAGCUGAAUUUUGAUCUCCUGCUGCCCGGAGUAAAUCUUUGAUCUGCAACAAGCCUCUGUCAGCCUAUGACUGAGAAGGCUGGAUUGACUCUGCUAUACGGGCCGCAGCCGCUAAAUUCUGAAUCGGGGUUCGAUAUACCUGAGUCAGUUGUGGAAAGAGUUGACGUCGACUGGAAUCUGGAACCCGUUUCCGCGCGCACUCGUCGAGUGCCCGCUGAAGGUUCCCCAGUCGAGUGCGUUCAGCCAAGUUGGCCAAGCACGCGUCCUUUAAGGCACGAGCCUCGGGAGUUUCUCCAACGAUAGGAGUAUGAAGUGCAUCCAUGUUCCGGCGGCGAAGUUCUUCCCUCUGCAGCGAAGUGAGGGGCUCGGGGAGAUACUCCUCAUUCGCAUGCGACGGAUCGCCUCCGCCGUCGCCUCCGUCGGCACCGGGAUAACUGGGAGGACCGCGCGGUCCAUCGACCAUCAGAACCUCCGCCGCUGGAUCACUGCUGUCGCACUCAGAUGCAGUCUCUGCAGAGCCAGUCGACAGGUCGAACAGGCCGUAGAGAGAUUCAUCGGGUUCGAUUGCCGCGACUUGGGGGUGGCCGAUUGGCGAGCCACCGCGUGUCUCACCCACCGCUAAAGCCUCGACCGACCGGAGCACUUGCACCGGCUGGAAACAGGGGGGAGGACGACACAGAAACCGACCGAUACUGGGUCGACGACUGCCGCAGGAGGACGCCGCGGACGCACGCGUGAAAGUGCGUCGCUCCGUGGACUGUGAGCGCGUCGAUGUCGAGGGAGCCUCCUGAAGCCAAGCAGAGUCGUCGGUGACGAACAUGAGCGCGCCGAGACGGAUCUCGCGGCCCUCAACCAAAACUCCGCCUGAAACCAUGAUGAAGGAGAUCGGAAAAAAUUACAACUUCUCAAAUAAGUCACUAAGACAUUUGCCCCAUGGUGGGCGCCAACUGUCGUGGUUCUAAGUCUGACAGUAGUGUAGGGGGGUACUAAUGGAGAGGCAAGAUCCUAGCUAUGGAGUAGUUGUAUACGCAAGAGAUUUACGAGUUCAGGCCCUUCUCGGAGGAAGUAACAGUCCUACGUCUCGGAGCCCGGAGGCGGUCGACUGGAUUAUAUGCGUAUGAGUUACAGGGGUGCGAACCCUUUACACUGAGGAGGGGGUGGCUUAUAUAGAGUCCGCCAGACCCCUCCGACCCUCAAUUAUGCAGGGUUUAAGAUACAUUAAGGUUGGGCGUUACUGGUAACACUAUACAUAAAGUGCUGUGAUGACCAUAAAAGCUACUUAAGGACCGAACAUUAGCGUGCAGAGUGACUUUAGAUCUCCUGGCUAUCGAGUGGUUGGUUUCAUGGUCGAGUGGUUGGCUUCAUGGUCGAGUGGUUGGCUUCAUGGUCGAGUGUCUUCGAGUCAGUCGGGUGGAACACUUCCGAGUCGAUUGACAGGUGGUUUAUUCAAGAGAUAUCCUUGGGUAGGGUAGUUUGGACAGGUCCAUGACCCUACCCUAGGUACAUAGCUUCAUCAGUGGCCUCUAUGGGUGCAGCAGGGGGAGUAGCGAUCAUCACGGGUGCCGCCUUGGGCGCCGAUGGUGCUCCCUCCUGAACCAAGGCGAGGUGCGUCUCAUGCGCCUUCCGAGCCUUAUAUGCAUCAACGACCUCUUGUGGUGCGCGACACUGGCGGGAGAAAUGCUCCACCGAGCCACAACGGAAGCAGUCCUGAGGCCUCUGCCCUCCCUUGCCCGGCUUGUUCUGCUUAGCCGGGGCAGGAGGGUGAGGGCCCUUCUCCUUGCCCUUGCGGCCUCUCUUCUUCUGUUGAGGCUUGCGGACUUUGAGAGCGUUCACCUCCUGGCGAGAACUCCCCCCAAGUGGUUGCGCGACAAAGUUCUUUUUAAGAACCUCAUCCUGCGCCUCCACCACCUGGAGGACGUCAAUCAACUCUGAAUACCUCGUGUAGUUCCCCUGGCGGUAGUUCCGUGAGGACUGGACCGCGUCGGGGUGGAAAGUGGAUAGUGUUUUCUCAAUCUUUCUGGGAGUCGGUAAUCUCUGUACCACACAACCGAAGAGUCCUACAAAUCCGGUGCAUAGCCGAAUCGUACUCCCCAACCGUCUUGAAGUCCGCAAACCUCAGACAGAUCCACUCUGCCUCUGCACGUGGCUUCACAGUGUACUUCAGCCGCUCAAACUGCUGCUUAAGAGCGGUCCAAAGGCCAGAAGCACUGCGCUCAUCCAUAUACUCAUCUUUUAGAGUAGGUGACAGGUGAUGACGGAGAAUAUGCAGAGUCUGCGCAUUCUCAGUUUUGAACUUGGGAUCAGUGGCGGCCAGCUGGGCCCCCUUACCUAUCGCCCUCAGGAGGAUUCUGCCCUGGAGAUAGAUCUCGCAGUCCGAGGACCAUGACAGGUAGUUCGGCCCUGUCUGGGCCAACUCAACAAACUCCUUGUGGACAAUUCCGGCCAUCUGCGAUCUAUGCAAAAAUCAUGAGAUUACAGCAGGUAAUCUUUUGCACAAAGCGAUGUUGAUAAACUUAUUCAAUAAAAAGACGUUCCAAUAUUUAAAACAUGCUAUUAUAUGACUUACUAAAUGAUUAAGAGUGUGAAUCAAUUAAUCUACAGCAGUAAAAUCAUACAAUAAUAUCAUGUUACAAAAGAUAGCAUGUUAAGCGCAUCUAGUAUGUGAAAACUAGCCCAAAAAUUGGAUUCCCGAGGCAUUUUUAAGCCCAAAUACAUGUUUUCAGUGAAAACAGACAAUUCCAGGGGCUUCUACGUAAAAUAUUACAGCAUGAAUAAAACUUGCGUAAAAUCUGGAAACUAUGGGGGCUAAACUGCAAAAAUCACACACUGCAGCCGGCGCGCUCCUUUUUUUUAUGGAGGAACCCACGGUCGCGGCCCACCCGGCCCAACAGCCAGUGGGCCGGCCCAUGCGCAGCGCUGUCCUCCUGCCCGCUGGGACGCUAGGGUUUCCCUAGCGCCCGAGCGGGGGCGGCGGCUCGCCCGAGCGGUGCCGGACGCGGCCGGGGCUGGCAGGCGCGCUNNNNNNNNNNNNNNNNNNNNNNNNNNNNNNNNNNNNNNNNNNNNNNNNNNNNNNNNNNNNNNNNNNNNNNNNNNNNNNNNNNNNNNNNNNNNNNNNNNNNNNNNNNNNNNNNNNNNNNNNNNNNNNNNNNNNNNNNNNNNNNNNNNNNNNNNNNNNNNNNNNNNNNNNNNNNNNNNNNNNNNNNNNNNNNNNNNNNNNNNNNNNNNNNNNNNNNNNNNNNNNNNNNNNNNNNNNNNNNNNNNNNNNNNNNNNNNNNNNNNNNNNNNNNNNNNNNNNNNNNNNNNNNNNNNNNNNNNNNNNNNNNNNNNNNNNNNNNNNNNNNNNNNNNNNNNNNNNNNNNNNNNNNNNNNNNNNNNNNNNNNNNNNNNNNNNNNNNNNNNNNNNNNNNNNNNNNNNNNNNNNNGACGGCGCGGCCACGGUGACGGCGCGGCCAGGGCGCGGCCACGGCGAGGCCAGCGGGGCUCCGGCCAGCAGGGCUCGGCGGCGUCAGCAGGACGCGGUGCGGCGUACGCGACCCUCGGGAUCGUGGACAGCACGGCGUCAUCUGGACGCUGGCCUUGGGAUGUGUAUCUUCGUCGCGUUCAUCCGGAAAAACGACGAUGCAUGGCACAUCUGGUGCUGUUGCGGCGGUGCCGCGAUCAUCUGGAUCGCGGUCUGUACCGACUCCCUAUAGUGCAGUCAACAAGUUCCUCUUAGUCCAAGAACAUCGACAUUGGUCGGCGACGUGUUCGUCCGCUCGGUUCUUGGGAGGAAAAUCCACAUCAUAGGUAGAUCAAAUCCGAAAAAAUAAUCUAAUCGCAAAAACGGAAUCGCGGGAACGAGAUAAAUCCAUUUUUGCAAAGAGUGGGGAUCGGAUCUUAUACCUCCGCGGGAUCGACGAAAGCCUGCGUGACGCAGGCUUGACGGAGAGUUGGUGGAGCAAAGCGUGCUGAUAACGUGUUCCGCAACUCCUGCCGGCGAGUCCGGUCCAAGGUUGCGGAGCGGAAGCGAGCGUCGUAGACGAAGUAGUCGAACACGCGAAAGUAAAUGACACGGAGAGAUAUGAAGGAGACCAGCUUUAUUAAUCAAUUAUCAGGUGUUACGAUGAUGGCUCCUCGAUACUUUAUAUAGGAAGAAGGGGGUCAAGGGAUAAGUACCCACCUAACGUAACGAGGGGAACGAGAGGGGCUAGCCCGUCGUUUAGCACGCGGCCGCUGCCACCCUCCCGGGUGACCCGGUUUCCCAACACCUAACAGGUAACAGCGCUGAGCGCCGCACGGUUGAGGGCGUUGCGGCCUUCAUGGAGGUUUGGCCAACAAUUGGCUUCGGUGCCGCACCGGAGGGCCGCUGUCGCUCAACGCCACCGGGUAGCACGGGCACGAGCGCAUCGUGUGAGGGCGACCUCACCGACCACAACAACAGCGUUGAGGGCCAUCGGGCGUUCUGUGGUGUGCCAUGGAUACGCACCUUUGGACUCCGUCGGGCGGGGUCGCACGCGGGCCGUUUUGCCUCUACAUGCGGGAGAAUAGUCAUUGCUUUCUUCUCAUUCUGUGCGACCAAACCACUCUCGGUUACGAGCAUGCUGAUAACCUGUUUGGAAGAGAAAGCAAAUGAUUGAGCAGUUGUUUCAUUGAUUGAUGACUAGGGUAUUGAUACCCUCAUUACAAGGCAGUUAUAAAGGAGGCUGUUGCCAAAACAUGACCACCGACAUAGCAUCAAUUAACAUUCAGUUAACCUAAUUAAUUAAUCCCUAACAAAGUUCUCUGCAUGUUCUAAUUAUUGUGGGAAUUUUAAUCUAUUUCGCUUUUGUUCCUUCUAUUGUGCCUGCUACCUUGCCAGGCGACCUUCUAUAACCUAUGGAGCGGGAGCUGCGUGAGAUCUUCACAUCACAACGAUGGCGGCGGCGGCGGCGGUGCGUAUAGUAGAAAGUCGUAGGGCAGCCCCCACGUGCAUGUUUUCCAAGCCCAUGAAACAUUUUUUUUACUUAUACGAGAGAAUUAAAGAUUUACUCUGGAUCUUACGGUUAUGGCUAUCUUUUUUUUUUACCUAUAAUUCCUUGCAUGCGGGGCAAGAGGGGAGGAGAGAUUGAGAUUUUAGACGGGAUAGGUGAAGUUUUUUUAAACCCAAAGCCAAUUUCCAUGUAAGUAAUGGCAAUGGUGGGUAAUUUUAACAACUUAAAUCGAAUGGCUAUUAAUCGUUAAUCCACCAAAUAGAUGGUUAGAUCUUUCUAAUUAUUGUGGAAAUUUUAAUCUAUUUCUCUUUUUUGUGGUUAACCCGUCAAAUACAAUUUAUAUAUAAAUAGAUAGAUGCAAAUCCCGUGCAUGGUAGAAUCUUUAUUUCCUCAAAGUACUAUAGUCCAUGAUAAUCAACGAGUUCCGUACAUAUUACUAGUACUAGUACGUGCUAACUAAAGCGUCUCAUGCAUGCAUACACAACCGAGAACUGAGCAUACAAUAUAUGCCUAGCUUAGCCAUGCAUAUACAACCGAGGCUACCGUCUACGGCGCAAAUUAGCACUUGCUGCACUCGCCCCAGCAUCCCAUGUGGCAUUGCUUGUCUUUCCCAUACGCGCACCGGUUGCAAGCUUGGGCGUCACAGUCGUUGCCGCAUGCACUCUGGGCGGCGCCGUCGCAGUCACAGCCGCCGCCGGGGCAGUUGGCCGUGCACUUGUCUUUCUCGGCGGCCUUGCACUUGCCGCAGAGAGCAACAUACUGUUCACAUUCGGUGCAUUUGCUGGAGGCUCUGCACGCCGAAUAGCACGCCGGAUACGUAACCGAGUAGCAGUGGUGGCGCCGGGACUCAGAGCAUGGUGGGUCCCAUGGCGCCGGAGCCGGCGCCGGCGCUGAUGGUGGUGACGGUGCGGGCAGUGGUGGCGCCUGUGCCGGCCCCGGGGACGGGGACAGACAGUGGCCAGAUGAAGGUAGAACCAGCAUGGCGAGGACGGCCGCCAUGAGAGCGAGGCCAACUGAACCUGCGGAAGCCAUUAGUUGGAAAAGAAGAGGAACAAAAAUGUGAAGAUCGACUUACACAGAUGUGCGUAUGAAAUAGGACAAGGCAAUGUUAUUUAUAGGCAUAGCCCGAGAUCCUAAUUGUAGGCUUAUAGCUAGCUAGCAUGUAGUACUACUACUAGGACUACAUAUCUAACUAAUCUUUGUAAAAUGAAUCAAGUUGCAUGUUAAGAUCUGUUACAAGUUGACAUAUGUGCAGAGAUCGACGAGGGAAAAGUGCUGCUUAUCUUGACCGAUUCAUCGCGUUGCAUUUUGAGAUCUGGGCCGUGCAUGUUACAAAGUUGACAUGCUAAGAGAGCAGUGCUACUUAUCUUGACCGAUUCAUCGCGUGGACUUUCUGCCAGUCUUGGAUCUCCAUGGAGAAGAACACCACCUUGAUUAAUUACUCGAAUGUCUCCCGAAACCUUACAUUUUCAAGAUAGUUUCGUGCGGACAAUAUAUUGUGAAUAUCCACAAUUUCUUUUUUUGAAGAUCGACUUAAGUUGGUGCACGUACGAGAAAUGAGAGAAAGCACAGAGUUGUUUCUAGGCACAGCCAAGAAUCUCACAUGUAUCUAUGUACUGCGGACUACAUGUCUACAUAUCUAUAGUAUGCACAAUGCAUCAAGUUGCAUGUAACGAGUAGCUGACGUGCAGAGAGGACGGAUCAAUAUUUAUACUAUCCGACGGCCACCUUGAAAUGCUCACCUUAAAAGCGGAUGCGGAUGCGGGUUCAGAACGAAAAUUAUCCAAUGGAUAGGGAAGCGGAUGUGGAUUAUCCAGUGUUUUUACGGAUAAACCGAGGUUACUAAAUAAGAUUAUCCGAUAAAUAUAGCCCAAUUGACAAGCCCAAAUAAGAAAUUAGUCGGGCACUAAUUAACUAGUAAUUAUGAUCGCCGCAUAUAAAUAGGGAGCAACUAGUUAACGAGCGAUCCUUCGGGAGCCUCGCAACGAUCAGCGUCACUCGGCGCGCUCUCAGCCAUUCGCCACGUGUCGCGCUCUGGACGCUUCCUUCGGAUUUUGUUUUUUUCAUUUUUCCGCACGCGUUUUCGGCUUUUUAAACGGGUUUUUUUCGGGGUUUUCGACGUUUUCGUUUUCCCCCGGUCUUUCUUAGCUUUUCGAUAAAAAAAAUCCGAAAAGUUUUUUUGCGCAAAAAAACACGUUUUUUUCCUUUCACGAAAGUCACGGUUUUUCUUCCGCGAGAGGCACAGUUGUGCUUUAGCGAGAGUCACGGCCGUGUCUUUCGGAAACGAAAAAAACGCGUUUUCUGUUUUUUUCCUUUCGCGAGAGUCAUGGUUUUUCUUCCGUGAGAGGCACGGUUGUGCUUUCGCGAGAGUCACGGCCGUGCCUCUCGGAAACGAAAAAAACGCAUUUUUUAUUUUUUUUCGUGAAAAUCACGGUUUUGCUUCCGCGAGAGGCACGGUUGUGCUUACGCGAAAGCCAUGGCCGUGCCUCUCGGAAAGAGAAAAAAAUACGCGUUUUCUGUUUUUUUUUUCUUUCGCGAGAGUCAUGGCCGUGCCUCUCGGAAACGAAAAAAAUCGUUUUCUGUUUUUUUUCUUCCACUGGAGUCACGGUUUUGCUUCCACGAGAGGCACAGUUGUGAUUUCGUGAGAGGCACAGGCGUGCCUCUCUCGGAAAGGGAAAAAAACCGUGCUCCCGGUUCCGUUUUUUCGCCCGGUUUUUUCGUCCGUUUUUUUCGUGAAAAAAAAGUUCGUCAAAACCUAUCAACAUGGGAUCUAGUUUUGAAGAUCUCGACGCGAGGAAUCCAAUGGUGAAAACGGUUCGAGAUUUGGACGCACGGUUUAAGAGAUAAAACGUUUUGAAUAAACGGAUCUAUAAAAAAAAGGAAAACUCCCAGGUUGCGACAAGUGGCGCGCUGCAUGUGCGCCACUUGUCGCGACCUGGGAAAAUGGAGUGUUCUUUGCAACGAGUACUCCUUAAUUAGUGAUUUCGAUAUAAAUACAAUAUAUGACCCUAAACCUAAAUAGGAAAGAGGAAACGUUAGGCGUGAGGCCUUGACGUUCGUGAGGAGACCCCUCCACCAGAUUAGAUCGAGGAAAAAGAAAAAACCAGCAAACGUGCGGGAGAAAACCAGCGUGGAGGGGUGCUAGGGGAAGGACGAAAAAAAACCAUACGAAAAAAACCAACGAAAAUAAAUCGUGAAGACUAUUCAUCAACUGCUCCAUUAAGAGUAGAGAUACUAGUAUAUGAUACUCCCCAUUACAACGAGCCUAAUAGUACUCUAGUAUACGAUCACAAUCACAGCCAUCACCCGUUAGCCGUCAGCCGUGGUUGUCACACGUCGUUUUCUCCAGCGCCGCCAACCCAGGGGCAGGCCGCAUCUGUCCGGUAAGUCGGCUGUCCUACACGAUGGGCAAAGAUGUCGGCGACGGUCCCGCUAAUGGAGGUGAGCAUUUUGUUUGAAUGCUCCAUGAUUUUAGGGCAUCAAUGGUACGCACCCACAACCACGAGGCCAUGCAGCUAAUGUUACGUGGCUCUCCUUACACUGGGCUUGUAAGUACUCCUACUAGUCAUGGUAGCAGAGUACACUGCCGUGAUCGACGCCGUACACGGCGAUGGGAAAAUCAAGUGCGCCAACGGGAUUCACGUCGAGACGACGGUCUGCAUGUGCACCGGCCGGGGCCAACGCGCUUACUUGCACGCACGUAUAGGACUAGAGCGAUCAUCUCUGGUUCCGUACUUCUGGUUACUUUGCUUCCAUGCACGUACAGUCUUAUCCAACUACUCCCUCAGUUUAGAAUUACUUGUCAUAAAAAUGGAUGUAUCUACAACUAAAAUACUAGAUACAUUUAUUUUUUGAACGAGUAAUUCCGAACGGAGGGAGUAGCUAAUAGCGACUUAGUUUCAACUCUAGCUAAAACUCACGCAAGACACCAGGUAGAAAAUAAUGAACAAGAGACUCGCAACGAGCUACACUAACAAACUAAGACCAAGUCGCGUCUCACUUAUUUCACUAACUGAAGAAAAUCCUAACUGACGAAACUGAACUUGAACAUCUACAACUACGACUGUCGACACAGAUUUCUCUUUGAAUCUUUGACAGCAGCUGCUAACUUUAUAUUAUGCGCUGGGAUAAAAAAUUAUGCUCAUAUUGUUUGCAUGGUAGAAAUAAAAUCAUGUGUCUUUACAUGUAUCACCCGAUAUUUUUUAUCUGUUUCCGUUUUGAAUCCGUAGUCCGAUAUAAUCCGCAUUCGAAUCCGCAUCCGGUCAUUAUCUGCUCCGCUCCGAAUCCAAAUAUAUACAUAUACAUAUGGUAGAGGAUAUGGUAAAAAGCAUUAUCGGAUCCGAUCUGAUCCAUUUACAUCCCUAUAUAGCUAGCUAUCAUGUACUAGCUAGGACUACAUGUCUAAUAUUUAUCUAUGUAAAAUGAAUCAAGUUGCAUGUUAAGAUCAAUUACAAGUUGACAUAUACGCAGAGAUUGAUGAGUGCGUAUUUUCAUUUCUAGAUCUGCGACGUGCAUGUUACAAAAUUGACAUGCUGAUGUAGCAGUGCUACUUAUCUUGACUGGGCACGAUUCAUCGCAUGGUUGUUCUGUUUGGCUUGGAUCUCCAUGGAGAAGAACACCUACUUAAUUGAUUACUCAAAUGUCUCUCAACAUCCUUUUUUAAGCCUUGCUUUUGAAGACAACUUUGCGUAGAAAAUAUAAUUAAGGAAAAGUGGGGGAAAUCAUAUAGUGGAAAUAUUCCCAUGUCGACAUUAUGCAUAUGUUUCCUUCAAAGGAAUGGAGCAGAAUGAAAAUGAAGGAAGAGUUCAUCCGGUAUAAGUUUCAAAGGAAAAAUGCAUGAAUUUGACAAUCCACUUGGACUCUGUUUGUCUUUGGUACAAGGGAUUCUAAAAAACACAUGAAUCGAAAGGGAUUGGGACAACAUGUCAUAAUGGAUCCUUUAGUUGCCAAGAAUACAUGAAUUUAUAAUACGAAGUAGAAGGUCGUGUUUGGCUGCACGAAAGGAAAAAAGGCAGGAAGUUUCCCAUAGCAUUUGAUGCAUGAAAUAGUUGCCAUAGAAACAAUUAACAAAAAUCUCAAGGUUGGACCCGAUGGAAAUUCUCCUCUCGGAUUAUUGUAUGAUGCCUAUAAGGUUGACACACGAAUUGAUGAGAUGGAAGGAAAACACCCAUCCACAUGCCGGCCUUUGUUCUUCUAUUCCUUUCUCUCAACUCCAAUCGCUGGUCCACUUCCCUUUUUUUUCACCCACGCACGCUGCCGCUGGUCCGGUCGCCUACACCCUUGCAAAUUGCCGGGGCGGGCCGGUUACCGACUCUAUCCAGGGCCACAAAAAUCUCUAUCUCUUCUCCUCUCCUCACUGAAACCUUCUGCCUAUUUCCUGCGGUCGCACGUGCAACAAGAACUGGCGGCGGCACAUACAUGAGCUUGGUGGCGCACGUCGGAGGAGCUAUGGAGCUCGACCAUACGAAGGGUGGUUGUGGAUGUGAUCGAUCACACGCGUUAGAGGAGGGGUCUAGGGUCGUUGGCAUCACACCCACACCUGCCCCGGUGCAUGCCAUGGCUUCACCCCCUAGCCUUCCCAUUCCCGACGUAUGUCAUGGGAUCCACACGAGGCGGUGCAGGAUCUGGUCGAAGAGGGCUUCCUUGGAAAUCCAUGUGACUCCGGUCAACACAGNNNNNNNNNNNNNNNNNNNNNNNNNNNNNNNNNNNNNNNNNNNNNNNNNNNNNNNNNNNNNNNNNNNNNNNNNNNNNNNNNNNNNNNNNNNNNNNNNNNNNNNNNNNNNNNNNNNNNNNNNNNNNNNNNNNNNNNNNNNNNNNNNNNNNNNNNNNNNNNNNNNNNNNNNNNNNNNNNNNNNNNNNNNNNNNNNNNNNNNNNNNNNGAUUUGUUAUUAGUUUGGAUAUGAACAAUGCAGAAAUUUGAAAAAAAAAAUACAUGCAUAAGUGCAAUUUGGCCCCUGCAAUCAAAUUUUUUUGUCAUUUGGCCCCCCUAAUCUUAAUUUCCUGGCUCCGCCACGACCACAUUACCGUUCGGAAUCCAGGGUAUGCGGCUCCCCUCCUCGAAUGACUACGCCAAGGCCAGCAAUGACUACAUCAAACGGUACGCCGCCGCCAACCUGGUGGUGUUGACGACGAGAGCAGCCGGCGACGAUAUUUUUUUCAUAUUCAUGUGCUGCCAUCAUUUUUCUAUGAAAGACAUUUGUGUAAAAGAUCAUUUUCUGUAAAAAAUGAGACGUGCACGUGCAUAUGUUUUUUCAAUUUUGGAAAUUGCUACUGGUGGCGUGCGAGACAAAGAGCUCGUCUUUCAUUAAGUCAAGAAUUAUUAUUACAACUGUGAAUUUACUUAUUGAGCAGUUUAAUGCUAAGCAUUAAUCAUUCCAUGGUAGUCAUCUCAUACAUGGAUACACAUUUGACCCUGGCCGAGCGGCACAAGCUAUCUAUCUACGGCCCAUUGCACCCGCGCAUGCACUCGGCCGUGCAUAGGGCUGGAAAAAAAGCUCGAAGCUCGCGAGCUAAAGAAGUAGCUCGUGACUCGGCUCGAAUCGACUCGAACUCGAAGAAUAACGAGUCGAGCCAAGCUUUAGUUUAAGAUCAUUUAUAGACCAAGUUAAACAAGCCAAUCUCAUGAGUACUCGUGUAACUCGUUAGGCUCGAUACAAUAGAUCAGCCACUCCCAAUACAAAUAAAGAUCAGCCACUAAACAACCUACAUCCUAGGCGCACAACCCAAGGCCCAGCCGUUGAAGGUCUAGCCUCCUAGAAGAUUCAUGCGUUACAAGGAAACUACAAUUGUUUAGUGAUAUGUAUGUUUAAUAUAUACAUAAUCAUUUUCAUCAUAAUUGAGGGCUUUAUAUUUAUAUUUUUAACGAGCUUAACAAGCUAAACGAGCCAGCUCGGGAGUUACACGAGUCGAGCCAAUCUUGGGUUUGAGCUCGUUAUAGUAACGAGUCGAGUCGAGCUAGCUCGUUAACGAAACGAGCUCUAGCGAGCCGAGCCGAGCUGGCUCGACUCGGCUCGAAUUCCAGCCCUAGCCGUGCAGGUGAUCCGGCACAUCUUACUUUGGUUUUCCGGGCACUCUAAACAUUUCACAAAUAAGGCACAAGUGGCAUCGCAUUCGGUGGCGCCGCAGUCACACCUGUCGCCGGUGCAGUUGGCCAUGCACUCGUCGACGGUGGUCGUGCAGUCGUGGCAGAGGCGAGGUUGAACCAGUAGGCAAGGGCAUUUCCCAUUGGCGGAGGCCAUGCACAACGAUCUGCAGGUUGAGCUCCCGAACGAUUGAGCACAGGCCCCGCACGAUAUCGACGGUGCCGGAGCUGGUGGUAAUGAUGUCGGUGCGGGUGGCGGUGCCCCCUUUGCCGGCGGCGGCGGUACCGGCCCCAGCGAUGGACAGCGGCCUGACGAAGGCAGGACAAGCAUGGCGAGCAUGGCGGCGACGGCGGCCGCCUGGAGAGCGAGGCCGGCUGAGCCUGACGAAGCCAUUAGAGAAGAAGAAAGGUGCACACGAAAAACUGUGCGCUGCGUACGAACUACUGGUAGGGGAAGGCACAGUUACUUAUAGUCACACUUCACACCCAGAGAUCAUAGUUGUAGCUAGCUCCUAUCAUGUAAAAACUAUGCAUCAAGUCGUGCACGUUACGAGCAGUUGACAUGCAUGAAGAACGAAUCAAGUUGCAUCUUGAGAUCUGCGCCGUGCAUGUUACAAAGUUGACAUGUGGAUAGCUUGGUACUUAUCUUGACCUGGCAUGAUUUUUUUUUUAGAAAAGAAGGAGGAUCCCGCCUCUGCAUCUGGACGAUGCAUGGAGCCACUUUAUUAAUUAUUCACACAAGACCUUACAAAGUUAUAUAACAAUAAGACUAAAGUUACCGUCUAGGCAACAUGUGUCGCUACUCCUAUUCUAUUGAUGAAGGGAUACUAAUAGUCUAGACCACCAGGCAUGAUUCCUGACACAGACUUUAUUUCUGCUUGUCUUGAAUCUCCAUGGACAAUUUUGCACGGAAAAUACAUGUAGAGCCCCAAUAGGGGGCUGUUGUUCCCUUCAAGAGGAUCUCGACACGAGCGAGCGUUCUCAAGGAGGCUCAUUCGAGGGAACUGCACCUCUAGAGAGUGUUUCCUCAAAAAACCACUCCUUAGAAAAGUUUAAAAAUUGUCGUGCUAUAACUGAGAGAUUCGCAUGCUACUACACCAGAGAGAUUUGUCACGCUAAGAAGAAAAAUUGACAUGCUACAGUAAAAAAUACUCCUUCUGUCUCAUAAUAUAAGACGUUUUUACAAGCUAACAUUGUGGGACAGAGGGAGUAUCUGGCGUGUGUUUUUGAGAUUUUGCCACGCUGCAGUAGAGAGAAUUGUCAUGCAUUUCAGAGAUUUUCCAUGCGGCUAUAAAAAAAGUGGGAAUUGUCAUGCAUUUCAGAUAUUUCAGAGAGUUGUCAUGACCACGCACCUAAGGCUAUUGCUCCAAGGCUGUUUGCCUUGUGCGUCCGUCACUUUCAAAGAGGCUCUCUAUGACAACAUGUGGGUGCAGGACAUGCACAGACUGAACUCUGAGUAGCUUCAGGAUGAUCUGAUAAUGCCCUCGGGGACAUAAUUCAGUCGGUCACCCUCUCUAGACAGACUGACAUGACCACCUCGAAGCUCAACACUGGUGGAGUUUACUCCAUGGUCUCGCCAUAUGAUUCUCGAUCUCUUGCACAGGAUCCGGGAGCCUAAUCUUGCUAUUGUUGGGGAACGUAGUAAUUUCAAAAAAAUUCCUACGCACACGCAAGAUCAUGGUGAUGGCAGAGCAACGAGAGGGGAGAGUGUUGUCCACGUACCCUCGUAGACCGUAAGCGGAAGCGUUAGCACAAAGCGGUUGAUGUAGUCGUACGUCUUCACGAUCCGACCGAUCCAAGCACCGAACGUACGGCACCUCCGAGUUCAGCACACGUUCAGCUCGAUGACGAUCCCCGGCUCCGAUCCAGCAAAGCUUCGGGGAUGAGUUCCGUCAGCAUGACGGCGUGGUGACGAUGAUGAUGUUCUACCGGCGCAGGGCUUCGCCUAAACUCCGCGACGAUAUGACCGAGGUGGAAUAUGGUGGAGGGGGCACCGCACACGGCUAAGGAACUAUCCGUAGAUCAACUUGUGUGUCAUGGGGUGCCCCCAUACCCCCGUAUAUAAAGGACCAAGUGGGGAGGGGCGGCCGGCCAAGGGAGGGCGCGCCAGGGAGGAGUCCUACUUCCACCGGGAAUAGGACUCCCUCCUUUACUAGUCCAACUAGGAGAGGGGAAGGAAGGGAAGGAGAAGGAGAAGGAAGGAGAGGGAGGAAAAAGAGGAAAGGGGGGCCGACCCCCUAGUCCAAUUCGGUUUGGGCUAGGGGGCCGCGCGCCCUGCCUCCUCUCUUUCACCACUUGGCCCAUGAGGCCCAUUGCUUCUUCCUCGUAUUCCCGUAACUCCCCUGUACCCCCGAAAAUACCUGAAUCACUCGGAACCUUUCCGAACUCCGAAUAUAGUCGUCCAAUAUAUCGAUCUUUACGUCUCGAUCAUUUCGAUACUCCUCGUCAUGUCGCCAAUCUCAUCUGGGACUCCGAACUCCUUCGGUACAUCAAAACUCAUAAACUCAUAAUAUAACUGUCAUCGAAACCUUAAGCGUGCGGACCCUACGGGUUCGAGAACUAUGUAGACAUGACCUAGAACUAUUCUUGGUCAAUAACCAAUAGCGGAACCUGGAUGCUCAUAUUGGCUCCUACAUAUUCUACGAAGAUCUUUAUCGGUCAAACCGCAUAACAACAUACGUUGUUCCCUUUGUCAUCGGUAUGUUACUUGCCCGAGAUUUGAUCGUCGGUAUCCAAUACCUAGUUCAAUCUCGUUACCGGCAAGUCUCUUUACUCGUUACAUAAUGCAUCAUCCCGCAACUAACUCAUUAGUCACAUUGCUUGCAAGGCUUAUAGUGAUGUGCAUUACCGAGAGGGCCCAGAGAUACCUCUCCGACAAUCGGAGUGACAAAACCUAAUCUCGAAAUACGCCAACCCAACAUGUACCUUUGGAGACACUUGUAGUACUCCUUUAUAAUCACCCAGUUACGUUGUGACGUUUGGUAGCACCCAAAGUGUUCCUCCGGUAAACGGGAAUUGCAUAAUCUCAUAGUUACAGGAACAUGUAUAAGUCAUGAAGAAAGCAAUAGCAACAUACUAAACGAUCAAGUGCUAAGCUAAUGGAAUGGGUCAAGUCAAUCACAUCAUUCUUCUAAUGACGUGAUCCCAUUAAUCAAAUGACAACACAUGUCUAUGGUUAGGAAACAUAACCAUCUUUAAUUAAUGAGCUAGUCAAGUAGAGGCAUACUAGUGACACUAUGUUUGUCUAUGUAUUCACACAUGUAUUAUGUUUCCGGUUAAUACAAUUCUAGCAUGAAUAAUAAACAUUUAUCAUGAAAUAAGGAAAUAAAUAAUAACUUUAUUAUUGCCUCUAGGGCAUAUUUCCUUCAGCUAUUGUGUGGACGGUUAAAGUUGGCAGAAGUUUAAAUUCUACCUUUUUUUUAGAACAAGUUUAAAUUCUACCUAUGGCUAAUGAUCUAGAGCUGUAACUGGGCAGUUGAUCGUCUCUUUGCAUAGGCUGACCCAAAGCUGGGCAGACGGGCCGUGUUAGCUGGGCCGGCCGGAUAGCACGCAGUCUCGACAUGACCCAGGCUAAAUGGGCCAGGCCCAGCACGCGGAACGCCAGGGGCCGUGCCUGCGCUUGGAGGCUGGGCGGGCGGGCCAGCAGGGCAUGGCCCAUUUAUUUUUUUUAAUUUUUUCUGUAUUAUAUAUAUAUAUAUAGGACAAAUUUUUCCUACUACCGGGUGUAGUUACUCCCACUUUUGUUUGAUACGUUCUAGGUAGUAUCUAUCAUAUUGGAGUGUAUGUACGCGUAGUAUGUAGUAUAUAAGAAUGUUUAGGUAGUAUAUAUACUACUUUUUUGAUAGUAUGUAUCAUAUUUUGUGCAUACUCUAUUUUACGUACAAAUAUGUUCGUACUUCACAAAUACAAUAAAACCAUGAGCUCAGUUGCAAUGUUUUCAUAUAACUCACUUUGGAGCAUUUUAGAUGUAGUAUAUGAACAUACUAAAAAUAAUAAAGUAGAAUAUAUACUACCACAUGAUAGUAUAUUAGAAAUGGGUGUAGCUACACCCGGUAGUAGGAACUAUUAAACAAGCCAGCGUGUGAAAUGGGCCGACGUGCCAGCCCUAUUAACUAACUGGUCGUACCUAGGCCUUGAAGGGCAGCACGCAAGCCGGCACGGCACGGCCCGCUUACUAAUCAUGCCCCCGUGGGCCAUGUCGUGUCUGGCACGAUUACCAUGGGUCGGGCUGGCCCGUUUAGCCAGCUUGGGCUGGCCUUACUCGGCAACCUACCCCUUUGUGACGGAGCUCCCAAGAUGACAGUUCACCUACUCCCUCAUUGCACUUUUCAUUCGAGGGUAUGCAUGGGCCCUUCUCCAUACCUCCGAACUCUCAUGCUUGUGCAACUCGAGUAGAUGCGUCCACGACCUCCAUUAAGGCAUGGUGGUGUAAGAUAUGAGCCACCACGCGAUCGAACUCCAACAAGAAGCAAGCUACCACUGCAUGUUUCGUUGCAUGGAAUCUCUCAAAAGAGAAAACCGAAGAACCAUUGAGUGAUUGAGAGCCACGCCUGAGGUUGUUGCCGGCCUAAUCUGGGACGAGUCAAAAACUCUUUUGGAAGGGACACGGUUAACUGAACAUGAGUAUUUCAGUCCUUGCGUGAUGUACAGUUGCCCGUCAAACAAAUGAUGCUCAAAUUUGGUGGUGAAAUGAUAUUUGAGGAUCUCGAGACAAAAAAAUAGAUUAUCUAAUUUUAGUCAAACUUUUUUUGUCUAGAUAUCCUUGAAUGUCAUUUGGCCACUAAAUCUUGCAAGUAUACCUGGCCAAACCUCGGGCCGGGCCGGGCUUCGGGCCGGGCCUAGCCAAGCCCGAUGCAAUAAACCCAUGCCUGGCCCGGCCCGGUCAUCGGGCUUGUUUUCCGGGCCCGAGCCCGGCUCGAACACGUAAAAGCCCGUCGGGCUCCGGGGCGACCCGGCCCAACCUUCAAAAAAAUGCAAAAACGAUGGGCCCAGGCUCGGCCCGGCCCGGCCUUCGGGCUCAAAAUCUAGGCCCUGGGGCGGCGUCGGGCUGGGCCGGCCGGGCCGGGCUUCCCAUGGCCAGGACUACUUGCAAGUACCUAAUACAUUUGGACAUGCUCGAAGCCAAAAUUUUCAGAUUUUUUUAAUUUUGCUAAUUGUUUUCAGUUUUACUGUUUUUCGUGGGUGCAAUGCACCCAGCUUUACAAAAAAACUGUCCCGGAACCAUUUGGUCAAGUUCGAAGCCACAAAUUUUUCAGACUUUGUUUCUGCUAUCUUUUUUAUUCUACUGUUCUUCGCAGGUGCGGUGCACCCCGGUUUAGCCACAACUUUUCCAUAAUAUUUUUUAUUUCGACUGCAAAUUUAUUCAAUUAAAUACGUAUGGAGCAGUACAUGUUAAAUAUUCCAUGAAAGUAAAUGAUUUCCGCACGUAUUCCUUACACCAUCCAUCCCAUCAUGUAAGACGUUUUUUGAUACUCCGUCCGGAAAUACUUGUCAUCAAAAUGAAUAAAAGGGGAUGUAUCUAGAUGUAUUUUAGUUCUAGAUACAUCCCUUUUGUCCAUUUUGAUGACAAGUAUUUUCGGACGGAGGGAGUACUACAUUAGAGCAUCUCCAAUAGAUGCACAAAAAUCCCGCGCCCUAAAAUAAUUUUAGCGCACCACUGUAGCACUUUUAGUGCGCCGGACCCAACAUCACUUUAGCAUAUGCCCAAAAACGCGCGCCCAAAAGAACACACAAUGUAAAUUGUGAAGCGCGCACAAUUCAAUGCCUCAAAUUUGCAGCUUUUGAUAGCGUUUUUCAGCGCGCGCCCAACUCUUUUUUGCGCGCGCACUGUUUUAUAGCUUCUGCUGGAGCUGUCCGGCGCCCAAAAAACCCGGAUUUUAACGCGCGGCCCAGUUUUUGGGCGCCUGUUGAAGAUGCUCUUAGUGUCAAAAAAACAUCUUACAUUAUGAAACCGGGAGGGAGUAGAUACUAAAGCUAGCAUCUCAUACAUGGAUACACAAGCAUACAUAGUUGGACCAUGCAAUAUAUGCCUAGCCCCGGCCGGCCGGCCAGCCAGCAGAGGCGCUACGGCCCAUUGCACUUGCUCAUACACUCGCUUCUGCAGCUGGUCAGGCAACCCUGCUGAUGCCCGCGCACGCACCAGCUGCAAUCAUUGUAGGAACAAGUGACGGUGCAUGCUUUGUCGGCGACGGCGCCGCAGUCACAGCCGCCGUCGGUGCAGUUGGCCGUGCACUCGUCGAUCUCGGCGGUCUUGCACUUGUCGCAGCGACCUUGAACGAAAAGGCAACCGCAUGUCUCGGAGAGGGGGGCUGUGCACAACGAAUAGCACGCCUGGCUCCCGACCGAGUAACAGUCCCCGCACGAUACCCGCGGCGCUGGCGCCGGGGCUGGCGCUGGUGGUAUCAGUUCGGGUGGCGGUGGCGCCUGUGCCGGCGGCGACGGUGGUGGCGGUGCCGGCCCCAGCGACGGACAGCGGCCCGACGAAGGUAUGACCAGCAUGGCGGCCACGGCGGCCGCCUUGAGAGCCAGGCCGGCUGAAGCCAUCAGAGAAGAAGACACAACAGGAUGAACUGUAAAGUGUGCUCGUGUACACCGAGUAUGGUUGUACGAACUAGCAAGAGAAGGCAUAGUUAUUUAUGGGCACGGCCAGAAAUCAUACUUAUAGCUAGCGAUCAUGUACUGAGAUUACUAUACGUUACGUAAGAUGCAUCAAGUUGCAUGUCGUGCAUGUUAGGCUGGCCAUAGUGGGGUAACAUAAGUAGUAUCAUGCACUUGAGACUUGCAAACAUGCUUAUGUGGCAGGCAAUUAAAGAAGAGAGAGAUGAUUAUAGUAACAUCGGUACAUACUGUAACAUAAUAAAUGUGAUGUUACUAUGUGUCAUGCACGGUAAUAAAUGAGACCACCUAUGAUAUUAAUCUAUAAUACUAUGCACUAUAGAGGUAGUAACAUAGACUAAUAACAUAUGCAUGUUACUAGUCUAAGUUACUCCCCACUAUAACCAGCCUUACAAGUACUGUUGACAUGGCUGCAAAGAGGAUCGAUGAGUGCAUAUACUAUGUAGAAUGCCUCAAGUUGCAUCUCGAGAUCUGCGCCAUGCAUGUUACAAAGUUGACAUGCAGGGAUAGUACUUAUCUUGACCGGGCACGAUUCCUGGCGGACUUUCUUUCUGCUUUUGGCUUGGAUCUAGAUUAUUGACUAAGGAGGGGACCGGGAUGCUUUUCAUGUUAUGGCUACCAAGAUCCGAGCUACUGCCACCUCUCUUCUGCAGCUCCAGUCCGGCGGCUAAGAUUUGGUGGUCCUUUUAUCGUCUCUUCUUAGUCUGCGGCCUGCGUGCCGUGUACUAGCCUGGGAGCCAUGUAUGUUUGCUUUUCCAAACUUUUGUAUUGGGCGUUGAUACUCUUAUGUGUGAUUUGUGAUGUAGUUUCGUUGUUACUCUGAUGGCUUUAUUUAUAAAGUCGGGCUCUCGCCUUUUCUCUAAAAAAAAGAUCUCCAUGGAGAAAAAACCUACUUGAUUAAUUACCCGAAUGUCUCUCAAAACCUUACUUUUGAGGACAACUUUGCAUGGAAAAUGUAUUUCCGGGGUGGAGAAAAUCAUAGGAAUACAAAUUUUCAUAUGACGACACCACUCAUAUGUUUUUCAAAGGAUUGGAGCAAAAGGGAACGGGGGGAAAUUACAUUUGAUCCGACAAUCAACUUGGGUCUCUUUGGUUCACAGGAUUCUAAAAACACAGAAUAAGAAUGGAUCAGGACAACAUGCCAUAUUAGAUCCGAUAUAGUUGUCAAAAACACAUGAAUCUACAAUAGAAGGUGUUUGGUUGCACAACAGGAAAAAUGCAGGAAGUUUUCCAUAGCAUUAGAUGCAUGAAAUAGUUGCCAUAAAAACAAUAAAUUUUUUUGGCUAGAUGGAAAUAUUCCACCGGACUCGUAUGCAAAAUUUGACCUUAGGAGUAAUUCCCAUGGUUUGCAAUCUUAGAAACCGAACAAUUAAUUCAUGGUUCACAAUCUUACAAACCGAACAAUCUUUGUAAAGAAAAUCACGAAGAAAUGGAAUCCUUCAAAGCUAGUAUGGAACUCCUUUUUUUGUGAAAUAACUGGUAUGGAAGUCCUUUGAACCAGAUAGGCUCGACCUCUUUUUCAAAUUUCUAUGCACGAAGAUGGAGACCGAGAUCCUUAGUGGCAUAAUAACAUUCUAAUUUUACAUUUUUCAUGUAGUUUCACUUUGAUUUGAUUGUGGUUAUUAGGAUUAUUAUUAUUUCCGAUUCUUCUACACCAAACACCCAAAUAUGCCAAAUUCGUGUCUUUUUCAAUCCUCUAUUUUGCGCAUACAUUAAUAUUGCAUUGCCACAUUUUCCAUUUUAGAAUCAUGAGAACCAACAAACCCUAAAAGUUUACAUAUUUUUUGAUUUAAAGUCAUUGGGAUUUGGUCUGUUGGGUUUCAAAAACUUAAUGUUACCAAAAAUACUAUGCGAUAAAUUAUUUUCAAAAUCACAAAUUAAAUAUGGAUCCCGAUUCCUCGGAAGGACUUGUUUUGACUUCUAGUUUGCCAUGGAUCUCCGUGGAGAAGAACACACACUUAAUUAAUUAAUUACGCAAAUUAAAAUCUAUGGUCAAAACCUUACUACUUUUGGGGACAACUUUGUGCGGACAAUAUAUUUAAGGGGUUUGAAAGAAAAGUGAAGGACAAUCAGGAAAACAGACGAAUUUUACAAUCCAGAUGGGGGCUCUUUCGGUCACAAGAUUCUAAAAGUGCAGGAAUAGAAAAGAUUCGGAUAACAUGCCAUAAUGGCUCCUACAAGUAUCCAAAACACAUGGUUUUGUAACAGAAGAUGCUUGGUUUACACUAAAGGAAAUAUUCCUGAACAUUCCAUAGAUUUCAUAGAAACAUAGGAAAAAAUCCUUGAGGUUGGACUCAAUGGAAAUCUUCUCUGGAAUUGCAUACAAAGUAGACCAUAGGAGUGAUUUCUAUAUUUUCCAAACCUGAAAAAACAAACAGCCCGUAUAGGAAAAUUCCCUAAGAAAUGGAAUCCUCCAAAAUUUGUAUGUAAUUCCUUUCAAAACUAAAUAGGCCCGACUUCUUUUUUAAAUCCCUGUGCACAAAGAUAGAUAUUGGAGUCCAUAGCGACAUAUUAUCAUUUGAGUCAUACUUUUCACAUGGUUUGACUUUGAUUGGACCAUGAUUAUAAUGAAUCAUGUGUUUUCCUAUUCUUGUAAACCAAACACCCAACUUUGUAGAAUCAUAUAAAUAUUUUGUACGGAUUCAGCUGCUUGUAGAAAAACGUUAACAUGCUUUGAAAAUAUAUUCAUAGAUUGUGAAAAUGGUUAUAUAUUCCCAAAGACGAACAUGAUGAACUUAAUUGUGUCAAAAAUAUAUUUUUUAUCAAAAACUCAAAUUAACACCAGAAGAAUUGGUGAAUAUAUAAAUCCAUCUUACUCCACCCAUUUUGUCUGCAAAAACUGACUUGUAUUCAUCUCCACACGCACACCUUACUCCACAGAUUUUUUGUGUGGGAAAUCAAUUGACCAUGUACCAGUACUGCAAUGUACCUACCAACCACACGAAAAGAUUCUUGUGACCUAGCAUGAAAAUUUUUUUGUGGUAUAGUACCUGAGAAUCUAAUCUGGCACUCAUGCUCCUAUACACAUAAAUGUACCCAAAAAAUGCUCCUGAGAUUCAUUUAAUCUUGCAUUGAGUGACGUUUUAGAGGACAUAGACAAAAGGAUGCCAUCAAUUUGUAGCACAUGGGCAUCUAUCUUCAGGACAGAGCCCUGGCUCAUUUCAUAGGAUCCUAAGGAAAAAAUCCAAACCUUGUUGCGAAAUGUGAAGGAAAUUGGCAUUUGGGACUGAAUUAAUAGGUUAGUCUAGAAAUAUAAUGAUAUUUGAUAUCUAAACUAUGUCAUUGUGAUAUAAAUAUAGCAUGAAGCAAGCAAAAAAGUAUAGACACAAAGUAUAGGACAUAUCAGUGUGUCUUUGGCGGUGGCCAAUAUAUAUUUAUAGGAGAACCUACAAAGUCUCGGGUCGCGAUCACGAUCCAAAUCGACUAGAUUUACAACUCGAAAACUUACUUUUCAAGAAACCAAUAAACCUACCGGCCAAGACACCAAAAUAUGAAACGACAAAAGGAAGUCGAGCUCCUGCAAGAGCACAAAUAGGAUUUCGGCAGACCGUUCACGCGCAUGUCGCACGCCCGCACCCUUUGCUCCGUCUCGGCCCCGCAAGGCGAGCGUUGUGUGGUAUUCUCUUUCUCUCCUCAUACACAUCAUUUAGUGGAGUGGGGAGAUUCCACUAUAUAAGUUGGUCUCAGCAACAUCCACUUCCAUGGUGGGACUAAAGAUCUCACCUUCUCUCUUACCAUUUAUUCAUGGGUCUUUGAGAGUUAUUAGAAUUUUAGUUGUUGAGUCAAGCCCAAGUAUUCUAACAUGAGACCCAUCCAAACAUUUGCUCUUUGAGAUGGAUUCAAGCAUUGUGAAUUAGCAUUCUAAUGCAUGUUAGGGUUUUUCCUAAUACACGCAUAAAUACUACUUUAUGUUAGUUUUCUGUCAGCGAACAUCGAGAGAGGAGAGAAGGAUGGCAUUCAUGUAACCUAGCAGGAAAAUAUUUUUGUGCUAUAGUCUUGAGAAUCUAGACACAAUCUGGCACUCAUGUUUCUGUACACAUAAAUGUACCCCAAAAAAUACUCCUGAGAUUCAUUUUAGUCUUGCAUUGAGUGUCGUUUUAGAGGACAUAGACAAAAAGAUGCCAUCAGUUUGUAGGACAUGGGCAUCUAUGUUCUUUUUUUUUGCGGGAAAUGGGCAUCUAUAUUCAUGACAAAUUCAUGGCUCAUUUCAUAGGAUCCUAAGGAAACAAUCCAAACCUUGUUGCAGAAUGUGAAAAAAACUAACACUUGACACUAAAUUAAUAUGUCAUCAUCGCAUGUUGCAUGCCCGCACCCUUCGCCCCAACCCACAGCCUACUCAUGUGAUCUUCUCUUCCUCUCCUCAUACCCAUCAUUUAGUGGAGUGGGAGACUCCAUUAUAUAAGUUGGUCUCACACCACCUUCACUUUCAUGGUGGGACUAAAGAUUGCACCUCCACUUUUGCUACUUACACAUCGGCCUUUGAGAUAUUUUCUUAGGAUUUAGUAUUGGGCCAAGCACAAAUAUUUUAACACUUAUGGGUGGGGGCGGUUUUUUUAUCACUUAUGGGUGGCAUCGGUGGAUAAUAUUUUGCAACUUUAGGGGCAAUUUCGGUGACGUAUCGCCAGAAGCAAUAGCCCCUUUAUUAUUAGAUAAAUAUGUAUAAAAGGUGAAUUUUAUAGGAUGGUAAUUUGACCCGCAAUGAUGUAUGUCAUUAAGUAGACAGGGUGCGUGGAAGCUAGUUGUCCAUGAGGUAGAACCAUGAAUUGGUUGUGAGAUUUUAUGGAUUUCAGCUCCAGCCUAUCUCAACAAGUUUGAGACUAAAGGAUUUAUUGUUGUCACUUGGCAAAUUAAACACACAGGUCUCUCCUUUUUCCUGUUUUUCUCCGCACAUGGAUGCUGGUCUUCGAUUUGUGUUUGUUUUUCUCGAGAGAAAAAAAAGAGUAGGACCCGGUUCCAUUUAUUGAUCGGAUAGAAAAAAUUACUCAGCAAACUUUGUGCCUAUUCGACAGUAUAAAAGGGCGAAAGGAGAAAAAAAGGAUGGACUAGGUGCUGAAGCGUCUCAUACAUGCAUACACAGUUGACCAUGCAAUAAAUGCACAGGCUAUCUACCACGACGGCGACGGCGACGGCGACGGCGACGGUGGUGACGGCCAUGAGCCAAAGCAGUUGUAGCAAUCGGCCGGCGAGCCGCAUUUGGCCAUGCAAGCCUCGCGACGCCCCUGCCUGCACGAGUUGCAUUCAUCGUAGGAACAGACGGCGGCGCAUGCACUGCUGGCAGCGUUGCCACAGUAGUCACAGCCGCCGCCCGUGCAGCUGGCUGCGCACCUGUCGAGCUCGCUGUUCAUACACUCGCCGCAGUGAGGACCCUCCGUCAAUUGGCAAACGGUGCAGAUGAGGUCGAUGGAGACUGAGCACUCGGAUAUGCAGGAAGUAUCCAAGUAACAGUCGGCCAUGCAUGGUAACUCCUGCUGCCACGGCGACGGCCCUGGCGCUGGCAGUGGCGGUGCCGGCUCGGGCCAGUGCGCCGUUUCCGGCGCCGGUGAUGGUGGUUCCGGCCCCGGAAACGGAUAGCUGCCCGAUGAAGGUAUGGCCAGCAUGGCAAGGACGGCAGCGAUGGCGGUCGCCUUGAGAGCGAGGAGGCCUGCUGAAGCCAUUAGAAAAGAAAGUACUUGCAACGAUAAAUAAAAUGGAGAAGAUCGACUUAACCUGGUGUGAGUACCAAGUAAGAAAGGGCAGGGUUAUAUAUAUAGGCACGGCCCAAGAUCAUACGUAUAUCUCUCACAUGGUAUCAGUAUGUGCUACAAUGCCUCAUAUAGUUAAUAGUUUCAUGCACGUUACAAGCUGACAUUCGUAUACUGGUAUGUAAUAAAAUUAAUGCGUACAAGUAAGAUUAAUUCGUAUAGUUUCAUGCACGUUACAAGUUGACAUUCAUAUAGUUUCACGCACGUUACAAGUAAGAUUAAUGCACCAAGUCGCAUGUCGAGAACUGCGGUAGUGCAACGUAUAUCUUGACCUUGACCGGGCACAGUUUUGACUUCCAAAUGUAGAUUGGAUCUCCGUACGUGGACGAAACACUUAAUAAUCAGAUUGGAACAAAUCCUUGACGAGACUUCGCCUCACCUCGGACAUGGGCCUAACAUUUUACUUCCAAACAUCCAUGCUAAUAUGUAGAGUAAAUUAGACGCAAAAAAAUAUGUGUUGAUGCCCGUUGAUUCUCCAAGAAUGAGAACACCGCAGUCACAACCCCCACUGAGAUUCAAACCAAAACAAUCCAAUCAACACAAAGGAAAAUGGAAAACUGACUUGAGCGGUGCUGAGGUAUGCUCUGUAGAAUGCAUUAAGUUGCAUGUCAAGAUCUGCACAGUGCAGGUAACAAGUUGACAUGCAAAUCUCACAUAUACUACUUAUCUUGACCGGGUACGGGGCAAGAUUCCUCAUGUAGAUUGAUUUUCACUUCCAGUUUGGUUUGGAUCUCCGUGUAGGAAACACUUAAUAAUUAGAUUCGAACAAAUACGACUACGCCACGCCUUGGCCAUGGGUCUAAGCACUAACAUCCAGAAAAAUACUAUGUUCAAACUCUUUAUGGUAAGAAUAGGGAACUUAGAGAGGAGUGUUAACCCUGACGGGUAGGGCCCACAUCUGACUUAAGUGUCUACACAAAUGGUGUUGACUUUUAGUACCAUUUGGCCCAGACUGGCGGGCCCGGCAUGUCAGAAACACGUUUAAAUCGACCAAAUUGGCUCACUAGUGGUUUUUAAGAAGCGUUAUGCCAAGGUUGGUAGCUUCUUGUGGCAGUAAAACAAUGUGGUGAUUUUUGAAACAGUAGACAAGAAUAUGAUGGCUUUAUGAUAUUCACUCCAAAAGAAAAAAUUGAACGCCAUAGUCAGAGAUUUGAAGCAAAAAAAACCAGUUGACAGAAAUGAAGAUGGAAGACCGACUUAGCGGUCUAGAAAAUAUGUGUAGAAUGUAUUAAAUUACAUGUUGAGAUCUGCACAGUGCAGAUAACAAGUUGACAUACAAAUCAGCACUCAUGUAUCUUGACCGGGCAAGGGGCACGAUUACUCGCGUAGAUUGGUUUGACUUCUAGUUGGCUUAGGGUGUGUUUGUUUGGGCUGCAACUUCUUCGGCUGCAGCUGCAACGGCUCCGGCUGGAAGGAGCGGCUGUAGCUAAAAGGUUGAAGCUGAGAUGCAGUCGUUUGGUAGUUAUGUUGUAGCAGCUGCGGCUGAUGCUAAAAUAUGUUGAAUGACUAGAAAGCCCUCAGUUGUUCCGUAAAUUGGAUGUAAGUACUGAUUGCAUUGUUAUAAGUGUAAAUGGCACAUUUAAAAGCUUUUUUAAAAAGCUAUUUUAUCAUUGGUUUUGAGCAGAAAAUAGGACAAUACAUCUCUCAUAUUACUAAUGAGCUUGGUCAUACACGGAUACACCAUCUCUGGAAAAAAAUGGACCUGUCUCUCAAUCUUAAUCAGUGAAAUAUGAGAUUGCGUAGAUCGGACAUUUGUUAUGUCCAAAAAAAAAGGCUCAGGAGCAAUUUAAAAGCUUAGUGCUGUAUUGUUGUGUCUUUACCACAAUAUCAAUUUAACUUUUGGACCUCAAUUUUUUCGGGGAAUUUUUUUUUGAACGAAAAAACGCGUUUUCUUUUUUUCCUUUCGCGAGACUCAUGGUUUUUCUUCCGCGAGAGGAACGGUUUUGCUUUCAUGAGAGUCACGGCCGUGCCUCUCGAAAACGGAAAAAACGUGUUUUCUAUUGUUUUUUCCUUCCGCGAGAGGCACUGUUUUGCUUCCGAGAGAGGCACGGCCGUGCCUCUCGGAAAUGGAAAAAAAAUGGAUUUUCUGUUUUUUUCUUUCCGUCCGAGAAAGGCAAGGUUGUGCUUUCGCGACAUGCCUCUCAGAAACUGAAACGCGUUUCCUGUUUUUUUACUUUCGUGAGAGGCACGAUUUUGCUUCCGUGAAAGGCAUGGUUGUGCUUUCGCAAGAGGCAUGGCCGUGUCUCCUCGGAAACGAAAAAAAUGUGUUUUCUUUCUUUUUCUUUCGCGAGAGGCACGGUUUUGCUUCCGUUGGGAUUUCGCGGUUGUGAUUUCGCGAGACGCACAGGCGUGCCUCUUUCGGAAAGGGAAAAAACCCGUGCUCCUGGUUUGGUUUUUUUGUCCGGUUUUUUUCGUGAAAAAAAGUUUGUCAAAACCUAUCAACAUGGGAUCUAGUUUUGAAGAUCUCGACGCGAGGAAUCUAACGGUGAAAACGGUUUAAGAGAUAAAACGUUCUGAAUAAACGAAUCUAUGAAAAAAGAAAAAUUCUCAAGUUGCGAUAAGUGGCGCAUAUGCAGCAAGCCACUUGUCGCAACCUGGGGUGUUUCCGGAGCUAGUGAUUUCGAGCUUCGGCGCAUUUCCGCGGAACGCUCCGAAGGAGCCGGGAGUGGAGAUGGGCCGAAAAUUUGUUGUUUGUUUGGGCUUCGGCUUUUAUGGAGUAGAAGCCGGAGCCCAAACAAACACACCCUUAGUCUUGUCAUAGUGGGGAGUAAUUUAGAUUAAUAUCAUGCAUAUGACCCUACUUUAUGUUAGUAACUUCAUAAUGCAAAGUAUCAUAGAAGUAGUGCUACCUAUCUUAGUCUUGUAUAAAAACAAUCAUAUUUAAUAAGAAAAGAGAGAGCAAGUAUAUCUUUAUCUAGAUAUACUUACAAUUUGGCUUUGAAAAGUAUACCAUUAGAAAAUAGAACAUCUGUAGUUUCUAAUGAUGUAAUUUUUGUGACAUAAAACUUGUAUUCCGUUGGUUAAAUCAUGAACCUAGGGAUACAAUUGAGCCUUCUAAGCCAGAAAGGAGGUAGUAUCUAAUGGUAUUUAAGUAUUGUAUGUUUAGAUAUAGCAGUCCUAGUGAGUAGGGCAUUUUGGAUCUCGGCCUGCAUGGAGGCCGAAUUUUUGAAAAAAAAAGUUUUCGAUUCAAAACAAUCUGAACUUUUUUGUACAAGUAAAUAAGGAUUUGAGGUUAUGUGUGUAAAAAUCUGAACUUUUUUGUACAAGUAAACACAUUUCUUUAUCUUCAUCUUUACCUCUUUACCUAAUAAUAAAGAAAAUUGGGUUUUGUCGUCCGUCGUCGUCAGCGAUUUUGCAUAAAAGUCCCUCGGUUUAUAAGUAACUAACCUGCAGUCCCUGUUUAGUGGGUCUCUAUAUAACAUUUCAAUUUUGCAAAAAGGACCCUAGCUCCGCAGCGCCCCGCCCCCUCCUCCCCUCGCCGCCGUCCGUUUGCGUCCUCUGGGCAAAGCCCCCGCGUGGAUUUGGCGGCGACGAGGCCUCUGGCGCGCUGCAGCGGCUCAGCUGCGAGGAGGCAAGCGGGGCUGCGUGCGGUCGUCCUCCCGUGCUCGCGCCCUCCCGUGCUCGCGCACGACACAGAGGCCAUUGCGGUGGCGAACUUGGUGGGGAAGGCGACCUCCGGUGAGGGGCGGCGGAUCCGGGCGCUAGAUGGCCAGAACGGGUGGAUUCGGGGGAAAUCCGGCCGGAUCCGGUCGUCGAGGUGCUCCGGCGGCGGACUAGGGGCAAGCACGGGGUGGCUUGGCAUCGGGUGGAGCCCCAUGGCCAUCCAUGGCAGACAGAGAGAGGUUAGAGAGAUAAGAGGAAGGGGAAGCAGAGGGAAAACGAGGCAGGGCGGCGGCGCUCGCCGGCACGGUUGCUGGUGGACAGACUGCGAUGAGGCAGGGAGACGUGGGCGCCAGGCGGUGAUGCGGCCGCUCGGGGGCUCGAGUGGCGCGGCUGCUCCAUACAAAAUGGCGGUGGCGGCCAGAGUGCAGGGGCAGGGGAGGCGGAUCCGGAGGUGGGAGGCGAGGCGGGGUUCACCGAUGACGACGAGGAAGGCCGGAGCACGGCUUCUCGGCCAGAUCCAUGGCUCAUGAGCAGAAAGGAGACAGGGAGGUGAAGAAGAGAAAAAGGGAGAAGGGAGGGGCAGUGUGGUGACAAGGCAGGUGCUCGCCGGACCCGAUCGACGGCGGACGGGCGCCGGAGACGGAGGGAUCUGGCACGGCGGAAGUGAAAGGCGGCAACUCCGCCGGCCUGUCUGGCGACACCAACCAGGCCACGAAUGGCGCAGCACAGUUGUCACAGCCACUCCAGCGAGUACGAAUGAGGACUUGACCACGAAGUAAUCCAUUCAUCUACCUUCUUUUCCUACUCCCCCUCGAUCUGGUUCUCAUUCGCCAUGUUCUUCAUCUGCAGAAAUCACUCAUUCGUAGUUUGGCUCACUUUCAGGUCUACAACGCCAUGUUUUCCUCACAUUCAUAGUUUAGCUCUUUAGUGAGGAAUCUCAUGCAAUCUUCUGAUAUUUGACAGUAAUUGGUGUCGGUACAGAAUGGGGAGCAGUUCUCGCUUUGGACAUUUUUAGGAUGUUGUUUGGCAGCAUGUUUUUAAGAAAUGCAUAUACAGUAAAGCUCACAAAGGCCAGCUAAUAUGCUUGCAUCUUUGCCAUGAAAUUACAGUAUGACAUGUUGUUCAAAAUAUUUUCGCUCCAUGAGGAGAAAGCUAAAUCCAGUUACAACAUGUUAGUGGAGUUCACAACCUGUAUCUUUGAGUGGUGCAAUGGGCUGCCUAGAUGCUGCCCUAAGGAUGAGCGGGUCAAGGUGCUGGACUGGAAGCACGGGGAGGAGGAUAAUUCCGUCAGGUACAACAGAGCCGUCGACUAAAGAAUUAACCGAACCAAUCGCUUUAUUUGAAGCUCUGAUUGUAGUUAUUUUUUUGUUCAUUAUUUUUUUAUCUUAAUAUGGGAGGAUUAUCACUGUAUAAUCUGAGAUCCUGACACAUCAACAUUUUAGCAUUGAUAAAUGUGUCACUUUGACUGGGUCUAUUAGGCAGUACUUGUAAGGUCUAUAAUUCUAAGUUCGACCUUUAAUUGGUAACUAAUCACUGGACAUCUGAUUGCUGAUUUAUGUGUAGAGAGAAAACUUAGUUCAGUUGUUAAAAUAGCAGUUGUACUAUUCCUAAAUUUUGUCCGAAUAGCUGGCUAUUCUGCUAGACUUGAACUAUUUUCAGUUUCCCUUUCACUGGAUACUUUUAGUGCUAACAAACAAUCUUUUCUUUAAUUGGCAGUAAUUUGCAGUUGGGUGGGUAUUGCUCGUUCUCAUUUACAUAUCUUUUCCGUGGCCUGUGUUGAAACAUAAUAACUUGUUGUAGACAUUGUACAAUGAUCAUAUUUCUCUUUUCAUUCCUUGGCCAGCUUAGAUUUUACCGAUCUGGUACAUGGUUGACAUAGGAACUAAGAUGUGCAGAUACGGUUGGCUAAUGUCAAGCAUACUGGAGGAAAAAAGGAGGUUAUGUUAGUUAUUUUUCUUCUUCAAGAGAUUUGGUGGCCCUUCUUGGUAUGUCCAAUUGUUAAAUAUAGCACUGCAUCAACCAGACCUUAAUCCUCCACUUCUGUAAUUUGGACCACAAGAAACUGUAGUUAAAUUGCAGUCUUUUGACAAAGUAAAGCCAUACACCUGAGUGUAGCAUUUUGGAGGACGAGCUUCAUGGAGCUCGUUUUCUGAAAAAUUCAAAAAUCAUAUUUUUAAGUUCCAGAAAAUUCUGGAACAAAUCAUAAACAUUCAUAUGGAUAUGCUUUACAUGUAUAUAAAGUAUGAGGAUGAAAUACAUUAUGAUGAGAGCUACAAAAAAGACAAAUUCAUGCAUUUUUAUAAUGAACAGUGCAUGUCAUGUUCACCAUUUCAAAAUCACAAUUUUGUCUUUUUUAUGUAGCACUCACCAUAAUGUAUAUCAUCUUAAAAUUUCCCACACAUGUAUAACACAUCCGUAUGAACAUAUAUGAUUUUUUUAGAUUUUUUUGAAACUUCAAAUUUGAUUUUCAUUUUUUUAAAAUAAAUAGCUCCAUGGAGCUUGGCCUCCAUUUAGCAUUUUGUCCUACACCUGGACUAUAUAAGUAAGCAUAGGAGCUAAAGUUCCUUAGAUAGUUGUUGUUGACAGGUUGGUAUUUACGCAUAUUCAUCUAUGAGCAUAGUCAUUUGUGGAUAUAGUCUUCAAGCACCAAUAACUGAAUCCCAAUAGGCAUUUUCCCGGUCCCUAAAUAAUAAGUCUUAAUUUGUGCAGUGCUAUGCAAUCAGCGAAAAAGUAGCCUUUUGAACUCUCGAUAUGGUAUGAGUGCUCAAGAGGAAUCAAGGCUAAAAUUUGUCUUUCAUCGAUUACUAUCUAUUUAACCAAAUAACAGAGAAUGAAUGACAGCCAUAGCUGCUACGGAUUUGAUAAAUGCAUGUUCUUGGGACGAACCAAGGUAAAGUACGGUUUCAAUAUGUUUCCUUUAAAUCAGGUAAGCAUCUCAUUUGCCCUCUAUCAAUCUGUUAUUUGUGCAUAUAACUUCUUCACUACAGUCUCAUUCUUCAUCACUCAGCCUUUUAAACUUAGUCCUAUAUUUCAAAGUGAAACAGUGUAAUGUGUUGUCAGUCUUGCUAUUGUUCAAGCACUAUAUUUCAUGCUAUAUUCUGGACAUCUUUUUGUUCAACUCAUAUGAUGUCACUCAUCUUUUGUUUUCUAUUUGGUUGCUUCAUCUAUUUGCAAUAUGAAUGCUCUAGAAUUUGUAUUCAUUGAACAUGAUUAGGACAACCGAUAAAAUGUAGAGGCUAAGUUGACAAAAUAAACUUUCACCAAAUAAAGAAAGUAAUUCUAAUUAUUCCUAAAGUUGUCAGAGGUAUUGCAAAAUUUCAAAAUUAGUUACGGUGACGAAGGUAUUCACAAGCACAGGUGCGAUGAAUUUUGCUCCCAUUGCAACGCACAUGUAUGUUUGCUAUACCUACUAAUAAAGCAAAUAGGUGUUCUUAGUCCGUUAUACUAUUUUAUAGAAAACCCCUGAUGUUUUUGACAUUAAACCCGUAGUACAUAUCAAAUCGAAUGUUUUUUAAAAUACUCAUAUCUUCUAAACUAUAACUACAAAUUUAACAUGUUAUAUAUGGAAUUUGAUUAGAAAAAUAUAUAGAAUCUGAAUAUGAUGUUAUUUUACCUGUUAGCCAUUUUAAAAAUACUAUCUAAGGUGCAAUCUUAAUCAACAAUGCAUUAUCCGUCUUUCUUUCAUAUCGGUAUUGAUCCAAAUUGUGGAUGACCAUCUCAGCAAAAUCAGAAUUGGAGACGAAAUUGAAGAUCACUUGCCUGUUUCUUUAUACGUAUUAAAUCUACAUGCAAACCGUGUUUAAAUAGAAGACAUUUGAGAUCUUGAACUUGCGCUUUUGUAGGCAAAGACGAUCUUUGUUUGGGACGUAGCUACAAAUACUCAGAUUAUAGACAUUUUUUGUAAAUUAUGAGUGUGUGGUAUUCUUUUCUCCCAUUGCAACGCACGGGCCCUUUUGCUAGUAAAUUAUAAAAAAUGAGAAUGUCCAUCAUGAAUUUAAUAAUGUUAAAUAAUUCAAAUAAUGCUUUAAACAUGUCUGUUCCGUAAAAAAAUGUGUCUUGCAUUUUAAAAAAAUGUUCAAGCAUUUUAGAACAAAUGUUGUAAUGUUUUUAAAAAUGAUUAUAAAUUGUAAAUUAUUUUUUUGCAUAAUGUAAGAAAAUGUUUCGUACCAUUCAUAAAAAUGUUCAUGAAAUUAUUUUAAAAAAUGUUCACACAACUAGAAAAUAUGUUUGUGACAUUUUUUAAAAAAUGUUUAGGCAAUGUACUCGUAAUUUAAAAAAAACAAUCAUACAUUGAAAAAUGUUCAACAAUUAUUUGAAAAUGUUUUAAGUUGUAUUCAAAAAAAAUCUUCAUCGUGUAUUUGAAAAAUAUUCAACGUGCAUAAAAAAUUACAUGUGUAUAAGAAAAUUUUAAAACGUGUGUUAAAAAGUAGACAUGUAUUGAAAAAUAAAGAAAAAAUGAAAAGAAAUGGAAAAACAAACAAAUGAAAAGACAGAGAAAGGGGAUAAAAAUAGAAAAAUAAAUAAAAGAGAGGCCAAUGAAAACCGUAAAGAAAAAACACAAGCAAAGGAAAAAAACCGCAUGGAACCUAACCAAACCGGUCAAGACCGAUGUAAGGUUCCAUGUUAUUGGCCCGGCCCACCGUACCGCUCGCUUGAGGUGAGGAGCUAGUGAGGCAUGGGCCUAGCGAGUGAAUCAUGCGCGGAUAUGGGAUCUCUCUCACACUGGCCUCAUUGGGCUAAAUCGUGGUCCUUUCGCUGGAGGCCGCUGGUUGUUCGUGUGUGCACACGGGGCGGUCUUCUCUCAUAUCAACCAUGUUUCCACUAGUUUUGUUGCCAUCAUUUUUCAUAAAGGAGAAUUAUCCCGAGCUUCUGCAUGAAGUGAUGCACACAGCCAUAGCUUUGUUUCCACCGUUGCUACGAAAUUUGAAUUUGAAAGCGAUGGCUUUUGUAUUUAUGUAGUACAAUUGUUUUCCUAGUUCUGUGUCAUGUUUAUUUUGAUUUAGUUUGUGAAUUUAAAAAUUCAAGGCAAUAUUUUUUAUAUAUUGCUCAUUGUGUUCUUUUUUCAUGCUUUUUUAUAUAUAAUUUGGGACGCGGACGGCUGUGCUUGGGGCGUUUAUCCCCACCAAAAUGUCGGGGCGGGCAUUUGGUUUACUUCACCUUCGGCGGCCGUGGUGCCUGCUUUGCUUUGUCGCAUUCAGCUAAAUAAUAACUUGGUAAAUCCACCCGUUAUCCACAAAAGAAAGAAAAACUUGAUAAAUUUCUUCUUGUCAUGCAUGGCAGCUGAAACCCACGUGGAAGAGGCUCGUAGUAAGUAUAGCAGUAACCUUUACGUGCAUUCACCUGUGUACAUCAGCCUAGAUAUUGAAAGCCGCUGUCUGCCCAAGGUGCGAAAUAUGUUCAAACAGGACACUACACAUCAAGGACGCCCGAUGCCGAGGAUUCAGGCACAUGUGAAGUUGUGCGUAACACUUAAUUCCAUUCAGGCCAUUUUUGCAAUUCAGGGGUUUAUUUUCCGAAGAAUACUCGAUGAGGAAGUUACCAUCUCAUGUCCUGAAAAACAGAGCUAAGCUAAGACCUUGUCCAAACAGGCAGAUAGAAAGCCAAGGAGAAGGAGAAGAAGCCAUCAUCUCCGUCGAUAUUUCCCCCCUAUUUAGUUGUACAGAAGCCCUGGUCUAAGAGCAUCUCUAACAUAUCUCGUAUAAGUUGACCUUAAAAACACGUAAUCGUUUCUAUGGUGCGAAAUUGCCCUGGACAAAGCAGACCCCGUAAAAAAAAGGUAUCCCACUAUAGCCCUUUUUUUUCAUUUUUCCUCCCGUCCCGGCAGAACCAGUCUCCAGCCACGGCGUGCCUCGCCCCGACGCCGCCCACCUCGCCCCCGGCGCUGCCCGUUCCCGGCCACGCGUGCAGCGGAGUAGCCCCGCGCCGCCCGCCCUAACCGCGUGCUCCCCGGCAUGGCCGUGCGAGCUCCUCGGCGCCCCCCUGGCCGUUCUCCGGCGCCUCCCCGCCCUGGUUCGGGCUGCCAGUGGCCUGCUCUGCCCUGCCCGUGGACGUCCUCCCGUCGGCAGUGGAGGUUGAACCGGCCGCUAUUUGGACCGGCGACGGCAAAUUCCGGUGUGCGGCGACUUCUUCCGACGUACGGCGACGGAUUCCGGUGUGUUCCUGGUAGAUUCCGAUGAGGUUUGACCGGUUUACGGGUUGAAUUGUAUAUUGCCUUUGAACCUGUACAUAUGAGGUUCUCGCGGAUGGAUUUUCGGUGCCCUUUAAAAAGUUAAAGGACCGAACGAGUUUUACAGGAUCUACUAGGCGCCAUGUUUUCGACCGAAACUGUAAACACUUUUUUUUAUACGGGUUUGAUCACUUGAAGGGGUAUGCUAGAUAUACUCUAAUAGGGCGUGUGAUUUAAUCAUGGACGCACAGACGGUAAUUACCUAUCCCCGCCAACUAACACACACAAAAAAAGUACAACGGUCUUGUCCCUGUCAACCUUAAUUAAUUAACAAGACUCAUCUUGGCGUCCUCCAUCGCUCGGUUGGUUGACUUGACCCCAAGUCUUUGGCCUCAUUCGCGCACGGCGCGCAAUCUUCUCAGAAGACGGCUACACAUAUUUGGCCGGUGAUCUUUCCCUUCUUAGCCACGCAAUGCAUGGGUAAUUUCUGUGCACUUUGCAAAAGCUUUGGCAAUUGCUUUUUGUUUUUUUAACGCACUCAACCUCAACCUCGAGCACCGGUGAUGCGAGGUGCCACGCGGAAGAACCGCUGGUUGUUCAGAUACUGUCCACUGAGUCCAGCACCGGAGGCAUGCUGGUCAAAGUUGAGGAUUCAGAUAGAUAGGCAAAUGUGACUGAAGAAGAGGUCGUUUUCACAGUUGGGAAGAAUCCAAUCCAACUGUCGAAUCAUAAGACACUUGAGCUGUAUCUGUAUACCGAACUGCACAUGUAAGUUGGGCUGAUGUGGGAAUGGGUUCUAUGAUCUGCAAAAAGAUGUGUCCAGAUUGGAUGCUCGAGAAGCACACUCUUCUGUGCUGAGGAUUCAGAUAAGACAUGUAACGGUUGGGAAUUUGACUUGUGAAUGAAAGCAUAAGACAGUCGAUCGAGUGCUGACGGGUGACACAAAAGUGUGUUGUGUUUCCCUACUUCUGGUUCCGGAACUAUUACUUCUGCUCGCGCCACUAGAAUUAACAAUUAAGUGUGUCUCUGUUUCUUUGUUAGGUCAAGUCGCAAAAGGAUUUAUUUUUUAAGUUGCAAUGGGAUUAUUUUUGGGAUAAAUAUAUUUUUUGUCCCUAAACUCUUUCAAAAGUAUAGGAAUAGUCCUUGAAUUCCAAAACCCGCAAAACAUAGUCCCUCGACUUUUCAAACCGGAUUAGUUUAGUCCCUCAUACCGCUUCGAGUGGUUUCCAUCUGACGUGGACACGGUUUUGACCAAAACUUGACACGUCACUUAGGUUUGACUGCCACGUCACAGUCCAUGUUAUUUUUUUCGAAACACGGUCCACAUCACCAACAGGGCCGGUCCUGAGAUUUCGGGGGCCCGGGGCGAACUAAAAAUUGGGGGCCCUUAAUAUACAAGUCAUUGUAAUAUACUUUUGUGUAAAAAAUGUAUAUAUAAAUUAUUAUCAGUAACAACUGAAUGGAUCCAAAAUCAGUAUGCGUAUCAAAUAAUUUAUACAUAUUACUUUAAGAUUUUCUUCUAACAUUCCUUGGCGCAAAGUCACUUAUAAUGGGGUCGAUGUCAAUCUCAUCCAAUAAUUUCUUCUCGAUGCAUAAUGUAGCCAAACCAUUUAACCUAUCUUGUGUUAUACCUUUUAUUUGCUUCAAAGCGGAGUCAAUGCACAUGGUUGAUGAUUGCAACAUCUUGCUAACAUUAUUUACAGCAAAUAGAAUAUCAUGUCAGAUAAUCGUACCAACUAGAAACUCAAAGCGACCAAGUGAGUCAAAUAAAUUUUUUCCAUCACUUUUUUGUUUAGGAUUAGUGUCAGAAGCAUGACAUAACUCAGACAAAACUGACCUUAACUCAGUGGCAUCCGACCAGUUACCUACAUUCUUGGAGCCACUUACAUUGUUAUUGCCGAUGUUGGAGUUGAUAUUUUCUUCUUGCUGAUCAGAGAGUCCAAUUUUUCAUUAGUUUGUUGCUCUUUCACUAUCGCAACAAUCGCCAACGCAUCAUCUGGGUUUGGCGAAGUAGUGGACGCAUCAAUAUUACUUGGCAUGAGAAAUUUGUGAAUACCUCCGCGCUGUGAGUGUAUCAGUUUAUUCACUAACUUCUUUUUUUUCCUUUUGUCGCUGCCUAAUGGAUAUUUCCUCCUGUUGGGCGGCAUGAGAACAAACACAAUGCUGAAAACAAAAAAAAUGUAUCAAUCGUUGAAUGGUGCCAGCCCUGAACAAAAGAAUUUAUUGUAUGAAUAAUAUACCUCAAACCUGAUGUCCAGAAUCCUGAUGGUCGAACUUCUGUAGUCUGUACGUUUCUAAAGUCUGCAGAUUUUUUUUAAGACAAUCUAAAGUCUGCAGAUGACGAAGAGGAGAGGAGCGCAAUUGAGCAAAGGUGCAAAGGCCAAAGGAGCGUGAAGAUGGGGGCCUCAGAAUUGAAACAGGCGGCGAACAUAACCAGAUUAGGAAGGAGAUUACCAGGGGACGUCGAGGUGGUGGGAGUGCAUCUGUGUGUGCGUGCGUGCACGGCGUCGGCCGCUAGCAACUAGGGCUGGGACGUGGGAAUCGUUACCGGGUUCUUCGUGAUGGAAUAGUCGAACGUAACAGGAAGGAAACCGUCCAGCCGCUGAUUGCUCGCUAUCUUUCCUUUUUUCCUGAGGAUCUCUCGCUACCUUUCCUGAGAACAAACGACUCGAUCGCUGGCCGCUGGGAUCAGGCGAUUGGCUUGCUAGUCUCCUGGCUUGCUAGUCUCUCAUAUACUCCCGUUCGUCAGACUGCAGUACUAUGGGCCAUANNNNNNNNNNNNNNNNNNNNNNNNNNNNNNNNNNNNNNNNNNNNNNNNNNNNNNNNNNNNNNNNNNNNNNNNNNNNNNNNNNNNNNNNNNNNNNNNNNNNNNNNNNNNNNNNNNNNNNNNNNNNNNNNNNNNNNNNNNNNNNNNNNNNNNNNNNNNNNNNNNNNNNNNNNNNNNNNNNNNNNNNNNNNNNNNNNNNNNNNNNNNNNNNNNNNNNNNNNNNNNNNNNNNNNNNNNNNNNNNNNNNNNNNNNNNNNNNNNNNNNNNNNNNNNNNNNNNNNNNNNNNNNNNNNNNNNNNNNNNNNNNNNNNNNNNNNNNNNNNNNNNNNNNAGGGCCGGCCCUGAUCACCAAGUGUCCCCAAUACGCCUGAGCGCGGCGAGGUCGGAUCAGAACCCCGACAGCGUCGUCCAUGACGGUGAUGCGGUGGAGAUGAUGCGGUGGACGUGGCGUUGGCAGACGAGUGACUUGGCCUCCCUGCCCGUCGAGCUGCAGUCUGCGCCCGGCGCGACGCCGCUGACCUUCUGGACAGGAGGCCAUCCGCGCACACCUCCACUUACGGCGUUGGCCACGCAUCAGAUCGUAUGCAGCGGCACGUAAGGUGCAGUCCAGGGAGCAACACGUCGCAUGCGUGUGUAUUCUUGGCGAGAUCGGAUCAGCAUGUUUUUUUUUCUUUUUGCAGGCAUCUCUGGCGGGCCAAAUCAAUAUGUACGUGAACGUAUACCUGCGUGUGCCGGCGGCUAGAAUUAAUCCAACAGCUAGUCUGCACUUCGUGUUUGAAAGAACUCGACUGGUCGCCGCACGCAUGCACGCGGGCCAAGCACCUCAAUCUCCGGCGCAUCUCGCGCUCCUUCCUGGAGCACGCCUGCCUCGCAGGAGACCCAAGGCCGCGCCCAGGUCGUCCUCUACCCGCCGCGGACGAGCUCGGUACUGUGCCCAUGGGUGCCGCCCAUGGCACGCAGUCGCCCGCCUACGUGAGAGCAACUAGAGCUCGCCCUCAUCGUCCGACAUAUUCAAAAGCGCUACAAUUUGCUGGCCAGAGCCACCCCGGCCGCGCCCCAGAGCUCCUCGCCUACCUCGUUUCCGACGGAGAAUCGCCACCACGACCGCGCUGGAACCAACUCCGAACUUACGCCAUGGUGGCGCGGACGAUCCCAGGAGCACCUGGUGGUGCUCUCUCCCUCUGCCAGCGCGCGUCUGUCUGUGCGUGUGCAUAUGUGAUGUGCGAGUGAGUGUGUGCUGGUGGGUGUCAUGUGCGUGUUUGUGCGUGCUGGCGUGUGCGCGCCACCGGCGAUCCUCGCCGUGCCGCCUGCACCCAGUACGUGCAAGCUCCACGUCACCUUCUUCUUCUGUUUCUUGGCGCGCGCCAACUGCUCGUCGAAAUGCUCAGCUGAGCUUAAAGAUGGGAAGGAAGAAGAUUGCCACGUUGGCAACGCUGGGUCAAAACCACGCCAACUCAGCACGAAAACUGCUUUUGUUGAGUCAAGGGACCAAACUAAUCCGGUUUUCAAAGUUGAGGGACUAAUGUUUGCUGGUUUUUUAGUUGAGGGACCAUUUCUAUACUUUUAAAAGAGUUCAAGGAUGAGAAAUAUACUUAUCCCAUUAUUUUUUGGCACUUAUGCAAAAUGGCCGGUGCGAGGGAGGGCCCGGUGUUUGAUGAACAUUGAAGUGAGGCCAACCAGGACAUUAUCUCCUGAGGCUGAGACCAGACUGGAUUAGAGUUAGCUUGCGGUUGCGGGAGACUCCUGAAGAGUAUGUGAAAUCUGAGUCAGCAUAUAGUAUCAAACAUAGAAGCUGGCAUCCCAUGUCCUCAACUUGAAUCAUGUACAACCACGUUAGGAUAAUGCCAUCCACCCGGAUCCGGCAUCUGAAAACAGGCAGAUACAUAUCAGGAAGCUAAGGAGAAGAAGGCUGGGAAGAAGCUUUCUCCGUACGUUGUCUAUUUUCUCUACGUGACUAACUUGGCAGGAGCCCUGCCUAGUUAUGGAUGUAUGUACAAAGCUACGUACAACAAAUGGUAGUUAUCUCCACCAACUGCUGACACAAAACAGUAGCCCAACGCCUUGUCCCUGUCAACCUGAAUGAAUGAAUGAAUUAGCUAGGGACACAAUGAGCCGAGGGUCCUCCAUCAUUAAUUUCGGUUGGUUGUUUAUAGCCUUUCCAUGGCACCAUAGCUCUUAGAUAGUAACAUAACACAUUUCAAGACAAUUUUGCUUAUGUGUCAUGAAGUUAAUGAGGAGAGAGAUGCUUGUGAUAACAUAUUAUGUUACUGUAACAUAACACACCCCGAGGUAAAAUGAGUCUAUAGCUCAAUUAAUGAAGGCUUGCAUGUUAUCAUUUAUAUGUUAUUAUCCAUUAUGAAGGUAGUAACAUAGACUAGUAACAUACUCCCUCCGUCCGCCAAAGAGUGGACGUCUAGGUUUUCUAAGACAAAAUAAGGAUUUUGCAAAAAAGCCCUCCCACCACUCAAUUAAGGCGCCACACCUCUGCUACUGCUUCGAUUCCUGCAGCAGUAAAUGAGAAGGGAGAAGUAAAACAGAACUUCCUGCAGCAGUAAAUGAGAAGGGAGAAGUAAAACAGAACUUUACCAAUAGAAUUUUGCUCCCGCCACAGUACUUCCCGCCAGCAACAACUAGUACUAAAAAUUAGAGGCGCCAGAUUACAGAAAUUAGAGGCGCCAAGUUUACAAUUUCAGUAGAUGAAGCGCCUGUGCCCAGCUAUAAAGCCAGCACAGUUGCACCAAGUAAAACAACACACACACAGACCAUGGCCAUUGACUUGAAUAUAGCACCAGGAGAGGGAGAAGAUGAACAUGAGCCUCCCUUGCAUGAGGAAGUGCUCCAGUUUGGUCAUCACUUCGAUCUGAACAUGAACCCGGGUACAUCUUGAUCAUCUUUUCAUUUGUUCCCCUUGAACAUGUGCACAUGCUGAUGUUUCUUCUUCACCGUAGAGGACGAACAUGAGGCUGCCUUGCUUAAAGAACCCCAGGUUGGUUUUGAGCCUCACUUGCAUGAAGAAGUACUCCAGGCCGGCCAUCAAUUCGCUGGAGAAGAUGAACAUGAGCCUCCCUUGCAUGAAGAAGUACCACUGGCUGGACAUCACUUCGAUCUGAACAUGAACCAUGGUACAUCUUGACCAUAUGCACAUGUUCAAUUCUUCUGCAUACUGUAGCUAAUCCUGAUGGUGUCUUCAUGUAGAACAUGAGGCCGACAUUUCCCAUGAAGAAGAGGAACAUGAGGCCGAUGUUGCCCAUGGAGAAGAGGACCUGCAUGAAUCAGAUGAAUCAGGUUAGUAAAACAAUUUAGUUAGCACAUUUGAAUGUUUAAUUACGAUCUUAUUCAACUACUCACAUAACCUCACCUUGUAGACGAUGAACUUGAAGACCACGGUGGUUUUUUCCAGAGCAUGGAAGAGGAAGUGCAAGCAAUGGAUGAAGCUCUAGAUAACCUUCAUGUUGACCCGGAGGACUAUGGUGUGUAUGCCGGAGAUAUAGAGAUUCAGUUUGACGAAGAAGAGCUUGAUGAUUCAGAACCGCAUGAAGCCAUGUACGAUUCAGCACCAGAUGAAGACAUGGAUGUGGAGCAAGAAGAUAAUGAACAAGUUCAUAAUGAAGACAAACACAAGAAUUUAACAGAUUUGCAAAGGACUGGUAUUUAUGAAGAAUUGCUAGCAAGAAGUGUCGACCGGAGAUUAAAGAAGACCACAACCAGAGAAGUUGCAAACAUGUUCCAAGUUUCAGUAUACAAGGUCAGACGCGUUUGGAGGAGGGUGAAGGAGUGUCUUCGACAAGGCAUACCCGUUGAUGUACGAUCAAGGAAGCCCAAAAAUUGUGGUCGCAAAAGGAUUGUAGUUGACCUUGGUAGGGUUCCAGAGAUUCCUCGGAGUCAAAGGAGAACUAUACGUAGUCUUGCAAGGGCUUUGGGUGUGAAGAAAAGCACAUUACAUAGGAUGUUUACGGAAGGCUUGCUAGAUAGGCAUUCCAGCUCACUCAAGCCAUAUUUGAAGGAAGCAAACAUGAAGGCUAGGCUGCGGCAUUGUCUCUCUAUGUUUGACACGCAAAGUUUGCCAAAUAAGCCCACAUUCAAGGACAUGCGUAACAUAUUACAUUUAGAUGAAAAGUGGUUUAACACCACCCAAAAGACCAUGAAAUUCUACAAGAUGCCAUCAGAAGAAAACCCACAUAGGACUGUGCAAAAUAAAAACUCCAUUGGAAAAAUAAUGUUUUUGGUUGUAAUAGGCAGGCCUAGAUAUAAUGCAGAAGGUAUUUGCAUUUUUGAUGGAAAGAUAGGCAUUUGGCCGUUUAUCAAAAAGGUGAAUUUCAACCUUUACUCUUUUAUUUAUUAGACACAUCCAUACUUAAUCUAACUUGAGUUGCGUUGUUGGUUGUAGGAGCCAGCGCCAAGGAAAAGUGAUAAUCGUCCAAGAGGGACGUUGAUCACAUGUCCCAAGUAAUGACCCAGGUUUUCUUAGUGUCGUUGCCCAAACUGGGCUUGAUAUUCGCCUCAUGCAACAGCCUGCGAACUCACCGGAUAUGAACGCUCUAGACCUUGGCCUAUUUUCUUCACUACAAUCCAUGUCAGAUAGGCUAGUCUCUAAUAAUUUAGAUGAGCUAAUCAACAAUGUGCAGCACGAAUAUCAUGCUUAUGAUGCCGAUAAGAUAAACAGGAUUUUCCUUACACUACAGAGUUGCUUAAUUGAGGUAAUGAAGAUAGGUGGAGGCAAUGACUACAAGAUCCCUCACAUGUACAAGGAUGGCCUAGAGCGUACAGGAAAUCUACCUGAUGUUUUAGGGUGGGAUCGCGAACUCUAUGAGAGCGCCAUGCAGAUCAUAGCCGACUAGAAGUUGUAAUAGUUCUUGCUUCAAUAGUCAAAGUAAUUUUUCAUGCCAAAUCUGUUCAAUAGUCAAAGUAAUUUUCAUGCCAAAUCUUUUCAUGCCAAAUCUGUACAGAAAGUAUAGUCACCACUUCAGAGACCAGGACUCAUUCAUCAAGAAAACACCUUAUUUAUGCAACAGAUCAUCAUAGUCAUGUCUGUCAUUUAACCACUACAGAUUGUUCAUACUUAAAAUUUUCAGGAUACACAGCCAUACUUAGAUCUCCCUCUACAUCACCACUAGGACUUGUAUUAAGUUGAACGCCAGUAACUAAAAGCCAAGAUUUGCAUCAAGCCAAACUUACAGAGCUAGUACUACUUGCUGGUCUUUUCGGCGACAUGCCCAGCACCUGCAGCCGUGGUAUCCUGGUCAGCACCAGGACGCACUCCUGCUGCCGUGCCAUCUUGCCCAGCACCUGCCGCCGCGCCGUCCUGGUUAGCCACAACACCGGCUUCACCAUCACCCACUGCAUCCUCAUCCGGGUCGACAAUCUUGGCUCCGACACCGAACCGACGCCGCCGACUGACGUACGAGGGCGAGGGCGACCACGGUCGGAACCUGCCUGGACGCGCACGGACGGGGCCCCCAGAACCAGAUCCGCUGCGGUCGCGUGCUGCGCCGCCGGCCGUCGCGAUGGCCUUGACUAGCUUGCCAUCGCCGGAUUUCGCUCCUCCGCCCUCUGCUCCGCCUGCCAUGGCUCCAGUGCGAUGGACGCCACCUCGCCGGCUGUUUAUAUGGACGGGAUGCCAUCGAUUUGGGGUGAGAGGGGGAGGCCCUGGAUUGGAGGUUGGACCGACGGUGAUUUGGGAUUGGAUCGGAGGAGAGGAUCGUUGGGGGAGAGGAAGAGGAUUGGGGAGUUUGCGUGUGGUGAUUCAGUUGCGCUGGAGUGAUGCUCGAGGCGUGGACCAGGGGGGCGAAUGCAAAAGUACCCAGCGCAACGAAGACGUACACUUAUUCUGGGAAAAACGCUGGCCUCUAAACGUCCA